This 53859-nucleotide long non-coding RNA is filed under the name Gossypium raimondii (Peruvian cotton). Its description in RNAcentral is "long non-coding RNA (GRAI_LNC007576)". Lineage: Eukaryota; Viridiplantae; Streptophyta; Magnoliopsida; Malvales; Malvaceae. The record is from RNAcentral.
AAGCAUGCAGUAUAAUCAUUUGGGAGUUUUUGUGGAUGUCGUUUUUGCAAGGUGGGACUAGCAACCUAGGUGGACCACAAAGUGCAUAAUUCUUCAUGAAUGAUGUGCUAGAAAAGUUUGAAAAACACCCUUUGCUGGGAAUUUCCCCUUCAAGUCUAUUGAAAGACACAUUAAAAUACUUUAGAUAUAAAAGCUUUUCCAAAGAUUUGGGAAUGACUCCGGAGAGAUUGUUAUUGCAUAAAUCCAAGAAUUCCAAACUAAUCAACCCAUCAAAUGAUUCAGGGAUAUGACCAUGUAGUAUAUUAUUUGAUAAAUCUAAUGAAACCAAAGUUUGAAGAACCCCAAAUGUGGAUAAGAUAUCGCCCGUGAGAAGAUUCCUUGAUAAAUUUAGUUUCAGUAGAGUCCUCAAAUGUCCAACAUCAAUAGCAUGUGAAUAGAGAUGGUUUGAUGAUAAAUCUAUUUCUAAGAUAUCUUUAAGAUUCGACAAAUUUGAAGGUAUUGCGGAACUCAAUUUGUUGGAAUUUAAGUAAAGAUAUCCCAAAGAAGUAAUAUUACCCAAACAAGAGGGUAUGGGUCCAUGCAGCUUAUUCAACCCUAAAUUCAAGUUGUAUAGUCUCUCCAAACCACAGAGGCUUUCUGAGAUAGGCCCUCCUAAUUUUUAGAGGAAAGAAAUAGACCUUGGAGAUUUCUCAUUCCUCCUAUUGAUGCUGGAAUCAAUCCACUUAAUUUAUUAUAGCUAAGUUGUAAAAGCAAUAGGUUGGUUAAGUUACCUAUUUCCAUAGGAAUAAUGCCUUGAAGCUCACAAUUAUGGGCAUAAAAGUAUUGAAGGGAUUUUGAAAGGUUCCCGAUAUGAGUAGGAAGAACGCCACUCAAUGGAUUUCCUGAAACCGCUAUUUUUCUCAAAUGCCUGCAAUUCGACAAGGAAGAAAGAAAGCUCCACUCAUGAUCAGUAGCAGAUCCUGUGAUCAAAUUAUUGUUUACGAUUCGGAACCGUUCAAGGUGUCUUAAGUUGCCAAGUGUUUUAGGGAUUGGACCAGAGAAUAAGUUAUGUGACACAACUAGUUUCUUAAGCAUGGAAGCAUUUGAGAUAGAGUUGGGAAUGUUUCGGCUAAGUUUAUUUCCCCACAAAAAAAGAAUCUCAAGCUUUGGAGCAUUGGUGAUGGGUGGUAAACUACCUGUAAAAUAGCAUCUUUUAGAAAACAUAUUCAUUGAAUACCAAAUUUACAAAUAUAUAAUACAUUAAAAUAAAAACUGUAAAACUUUAAAUCAAUUAAGAAUAAAAUUUUGGCAUGGAAAAAUGUGAUGAAAUCAAUUAGAAAGUUGAGACAUAAUAAGAGGUUUUGAGUAGUAAUUAGUCCUUGUGAUUUCUAUAGACAAAACAUAUAAUACACUAAUAAUUUUUUAAAAUAUUGUAGAACUUGAAAUAAAAUAAAAAUAAAAGUUUGGCAUGAGAAUGUGGCAUCUAAUCAAUCUUAAAAAUGAGACUGACACUGAAUAAUAAUUAGUUAUGAUUUGGGAAACAAAAUUCUUAAAGUCAUUGUUUUUAAUGUAAACUGGUAUGAUUUUGAUCUAUUGGGUUAAUUAUUUAUUUUUAUUAAAUUAUAGUGUAAAAUUUAAAGAUUAUUAUUUGCUCAAAAUUUUUGUGUUUUUCAUAUAUUUGAAAGUUAAUCUUUAUAUUUUUUAUUUUCUGUGAUUUAGUCUCUUUACUUUUUGAAUUAAAAAUUUUAGGUUCAUUUGUUAACACUGGUAAAAAAGUUUUUGUGUUAGUAUGGCAUUUUGAAAAAUAAAAUAAACUUGAUAUCUAUGUUUUUAAUUAUUCCAAAUAUUGUUUUACUAUUUCAAGAUAAACUUUUUGUGUCUAGACCAAUAUCUUAAGAACUAUUGUUGCAUGUUUAAUUAUUCUAAAGAAUUGUUGAUUGAGUCUUAGCCGAAGUGCACUAUUCUCCUAUUUAUGAAUUAGAGAGUUGGUAAAGUAUUAAAUUUUGAUAUAUUUUAAAAUAUUAAAAAUUUAUUAAAAUAUUUUUUAUAGAAAUUGAUUGUACCACAAUAUACAAUUUUAAUAUCAAAUUUUUAAUUUUUUUAAAAAUAUUAGCAAAUAUAUACUUUAUUUCAAGUUACACAAUUUUUACUAGUUUUUAAAUUUUUUUUAAAAAUUUUUAUCGUCUUUUAUAAUUUCUAAUAAUUUUUUAUAAUUGUUUACAAUAUUUACAAUUUCUAACCAUUUUUAAUAAUUUUAUUAUUUAUUACAAAUUUAAAAAUUAACAAAUUUUUAUUUUUUAAAACAAUUAUAUAUUUAUAAUGUAGUUAAUUUUUUAUAAUUUUAUUUGAAAUUUUAAAUAUUUUUUUGGUUUUUUUAGAUGAUGAUGCCAUCAUGAUGUCAUCAUAUGUCACAUGGCAAUUUAUAAUUAGUUGAAUAUCUCAAUCUAUUUUUUUAACAUCCAAUGGACUAAAACAAGAACACCUGAUAAUGUUAGAGACUACACUAGGAAUGUUUGAUAAUAUUAGGUACUAAAGUGGGCAAAAAAAAUUAAGGACUAUAUUAAAAAUAUAUCUAUAAUAUAUAUAAAUGCAUGGAUUUUAAGAAACUUUUGAACUGAUAAUUAUAUAGUCUUUGUUGUUUACUAUAUUAUUGAAUUUGUUAUUUUAAAUAUUUUUUUAUUACUUUUAAGAUUUAUCAUAUGUAUGGAUAAGAAUUUUGGUUUUACUAAAAUAUUUGGUUAAAUAAAUUCACUUCAUAAGAAAAUUUAGCAUCCUUAUAAAUAACAAUUUUGAUUCUAUUAAAAAUAUUGUUUUAAAAAAUCUAUAAUAAAAAUUUAAAAUUUAUAUUGAAUUACUUUAUACUUAAAUUAUUAUUAGAAACUUUAUCAUACACAUACGUAUAUGAGAACCAUGUAUUUAGAACAUAAAUUUGUGUUUUAAAAUAACUUAUGAUAAAUAAUGAUAAAUAAUAACACAUGGCAUAUCUACCAUAUUAAAAUAAAAAUAGAUUAAAUUGUAAGUAAAACAUAAUUUAAACAUAUGAAUACAUCAAAUUAAGAAUACUAAAUGAAUACAGUUAUUUAUGAUGAUGUUGUUGCCAAUUCUUAAGUUGGUGUCGAGUUAAUUUGUGACAUCAUAAAUUUAAGUGAUAAAUUUAAGGUUUUAUGUAUUGAUGUGGAUUCAAAUAUCACCAUAAUUUUUUUUAAAAAUAAAAAACUAAAGUACCCUCAAAUAAUAUAACUUAUAUUAAAUAUGAAAGGGUAUUUUUAUAAUUUCUCUAACCGAGUUGAUGCCCGGUUGACUCAUGACACCAACUCAAUCAAAAGCUUCAAUAAUAAUAUAGAUAUUCACAUUAAAAAAACAAAAAAAAAGUACUUUAGUUCCAAAUAAUUAUAUAAUAAGUAAAUUUAUAUUUGAUGAAUAAAUUUAUAAAUCAUAUAUUUAUAUGAUCUAAUAUAUUAUAUUUAUAUUAAUUAUAUAUCAUCUACAAACUUCGAAGAUCAAUUUAUUAAGUAUCAAGAAAAGAAAAAAUGAAAUUGAAUUAACACUAAAUCAAUUUUUAGAUUUUGUCCAGAUGAUUUAAUGAUGAUAAAAAAAUUAUUAGCACUAUUUUUGAAUUAACAAAAAAUUAGUGAUAUAUUUUAAUUAUAUUUAUUAUUUAUUAGUUUUAAUAAUGUUUUUUUAAUUAUAUGAAGUAAAAUUAUAUCGUAUACUAAAUAUGGUACAUAUACUUUAACUAUAACUUGAAAAAUUAUUAUAUAAAUUAAUAUAUUUUAAUUAUAUUCAACCAUUUGAAUAACAAAAUUAAAAAAAAUAAUUAGAAUUAUUUACUUUUUAAAGUUUAAUGGAAAUUAAAAAAUUAAAAAUAAAUCAAUUCAUAUAAAUCUUAUUGUUUAUUAUCAGAUUAAAAUGAUAAAAGUAUAUGACAUAAAUAGAAGAAACAAAUUCAACACAAUGUUUUUGGAGUUUGGAAAAAAUUAAAGUGAAAAACAUACCUUCUAAUUUGUUGUUAAAUAGAGCUAUUUCUUCGAGCGUAGUUGAAUUAAAAAUACUUGAUGGAAUCUGACCUACACACAUAGUCAAAAAUUGAAGUGAAAAACAUACUUUCUAAACUGUUCAACUAAAAAUACUUUAAGCAUCUUUUCUUCCAUCAAAUUAGUUAUCUAUUACAAAUCAAACUCUUUUAUGAAAUGUUGAAGAUGGAAGAUGGAACCUGACCAGAUAAUUGAUUGAAUCCCAAGUUCAAGAUCUCUAGAUUAGACAUGUUAACAAGUGUUUCAGGGAUUGUGCCUGUAAAGUUAUUAUUCUUCAUUUCCAGCCUUCGAACUCUCUGUAAGUUCCCAAGCCAUGAUGGAAUUUCCCCAUUCAGACGGUUGUAGCUUAAUUGAAGGAUCCUCAAACGAUGCAAUUGGCCAAAUUCUUUAGGGAGAUGGCCAUAGAAAUGGUUGCUACUCAAGUCGAGAGAGAGUAGAAAUGAAAGAUUUCCAAGGUGUGGAGGGAUAGUACCCCUAAGAUUCAUGCUUGUAAGAUUCAAAGCUAUAACUCUUUUAUGGAGGAUGCCACAAGAAACACCAAUCCAAUUGCAAACAGAGGUUGAGGCUGUCCAAUUGUUUGCCAUGUCAUUUUGAGGACCGGCAACGCGAUCCUUGAACUUGAGAAGUGCAAACUGAUUGGAGUUGAGAUUCUUGACUGUCAUAGCCAAGCAAAGUACGGAACAUGGUAUAAAUAAAGCUAAAAGAAGAUGAAAGCAAGUGUUGUAGUCCAUGAUUGCAAGAUGGAAUAAGGCAAGAAAAUAAUAAAAAAAAGUAGGAAAAGGGAAGUUGAGUUGAUAAAAUAGUUUGGAUGAUGAAGAAAAGCCCAGAGAGCAUGCUUUAAUAUGUUUCAACCCUCGCACACUUGAUAAACUUGAUAAAUUUAAGACUACCCUAAAAAUUAAAAAGGAAAACAAAGUUUUGAUGAAAUUUCAAAAUAAAUGUCAAGUAUUCUUCUUUUAGAAAUACGUACAAAGAAGCGAAUUUUCAAAAUUUCUCCUAAAUUUUCUUCACAUUACUCCACAUAAUCCAUUAAAAAAACUUAAAAAAUAUAUUUUAUUAAUUACUAUAUAUUUUUUAUUUUCAGAAUAAUAAAUUGUUUAAAAUAUGCUAUUAGUCCCUGUAAUUUAAAAGUUAAAAAAAUCCAAUCCUCCUAUUUUUUUAAUUUAAAAAUUCUAGUCCAAUCAUUUUUAAUUCCAUUAAAAAAUUUCAACUUAAUAGAUUUUUUAUUGUCAAUCAUAUGCAACAUUAUAUGAAGGCAGUCUACUCAGUAUAUAUCCAAGUUUCCAGAUUUUAAUAGAAAAUACUUACAAUCCUAAUGAUAGGACUAAGUUUUUUAAACUAGAAAAGUAAAACAAACUUAAUUUUUAACUUUUUUAAGUACAAGGAUUAAAUUUUAAAUGUUGUCAAAGUACAAGCACUAACAAAAUAUUGUGAUCUAAUAAAUGUAAAAAGCAUUUUAAACAAAAGAAGGUUGAAAUAAUAUAUUUGUCCUUAUACUUUGAUAAAAUUUGUAUCUUUUUUCGAACUAUUUAAUGCCAUUUCAACAUUUUCAUUAAAAAAAACAUAUCAUUUUGAAUUUGAUCUUUUUCAAUAUGAAAAUAUUGAAAUGAUGUUAAAUUAUUGGAAAGAGAUACAAGUUUCAUGGUAUCUCUCUAAGAAAGCUGAUGUAAGAUAUUAAUGACAUCAUUUGAACAAAGUUUUAGGUCAAAUUAUUCAUCUAGUCCUUGUAAUUAUUCUUUAAGGUGAAUUUCAUUAUUAUUCUUUUAUUUUCUUUGGCUUAAAUACACAUUUACCCCUAAUUUUAUCACAUUCUCCUUAAUUGGUAUUUAUAGUUUAGAAAAUUUUACAAAUAUAUUAUUUUUUAAGAAAUUAUAAGAAGAUUACAAAAAUUCCAAAAUAAUGUAAAAAAGCUAAGAAAAACCUAGAAAUUCAAAAAAAAAAAUCAUGUUUUUACAAAUUGGGGUAUGCAAUAAAUUUUAAGAUGGUUUUUGGAGUUACAUCUCACUUUAGCAUUGACUUACUUUUCUACGGUUAGUCUUCUCCAACAAGUUAAAUAUUUCAAUUUUAACAACAUUGACAGGUCUUUGGGGUAGGGUCGAGCAAAACUCAAUAGAAAUAGAUGAUAUAGGUUGAGUUGGCUCGGCCAAGUCGAGUCGACUUGUUCAAAUUUGUUAAAUUAGUAAAUUUUAGGGUGCAGUUAGAAUUUUUUGUUUUGAGAUGCUAAGAUUAAAAAAUUUGAGUUUUGAAAACUUUGACUCCUUUUUGCUUUGAGAGUUGAUUUGAAGAGAAAAGAGCUUGAAGGUGCUUUUGUAGAAAUAGGACAAAUUUUAAAAUAAGGAGUAAAUUGGAAAAAAAAAUUUGGGUUGGGCUAAUUUGAAAAUUUGACACUUUUGUGGGAUAAAAAUAGAAAAAUAUUUUAGUUGAAUACACAUAAGGAGUUACGAACUUGAGACUUAUAGGUAGACUAAGGCCUUACCACUUAACCAACAAGCUUAUUAUUAUUAUCUUUUAACACAAAUAAAUUUUAAGGCAUACUAAGGGCUUGUUUAGCAUUGCUGUGAAGAAGCACUUUUGGCUUAGAAACACUUUUAAGAGAAAAGUGGUUCUAAGCUAGUAACUUUUGGCUAAGAUUUUGGCUUUUCAAAAGCACUUUUGGCCAAAUGGAGAAGCUAAAAUUAUUAGCUUUUCUUACCCAAAAGCACUUUUGAGUGCUUAAUUACUAAUUCAUCCCUCCAAAAACAUAUUUUAAAAUAAAAUAAUACAAAUAUGUUAAUAUUUAAUUACAAAUAUUUAAUGGUUAUAUUAAAUAUUUAAAAUAUAAUUUAUAUAUUCUAAUUAAAUUUUAUAAAUAAUUAAUAUUUGUUGCUUAAAAAUAUUUAAAAUUUAUAUUUUAUAUAUUAAAAUAUUAAAAAAAUAUAUAAUAAAUUAUUUUUAUAUUCUUACUAAAAUAUCAUAAUAUUAAAUAAUUUUAAUAUUAUUUAAAUGCAUAUUUGUUACUUUAUAAUAUCAUGUCUAAUAUUGACGUUUUAUUUCUUAAAAGCACUUUUUAACAUUAAUAUUAAACACUUAAAUCUUAAACUAAAUUUCUCAAAGAUAGUUUUCUACAACGCUUUUUAAAAGUACUUUCCAAAAUCAAUGCUCAACUAUCUCAAACUCUCUUACCUUAUACUUUAAAAGAGAAAUUUUUUUUUUAAAUUUUAUCCCUAUUUCUUUUAACCCAAUUUUUUGGAUGUCAAACAUUUAUAAAUAAAAUAAGAAAAAGGAAAAAAAAAAAGCAUAUACAUAUUGAUGGGUUUUUUUUAUUAUUAGACUUUAUUUUUUAUCUCAGGUAAAAGUUUUUAUGGAGAGGAUCAUGUAAAAUUAUGAUCUGAAUCAUUUUAAACAUUUCAUCAUUGCAAAAAUGAAAUAAUAGGAAAGAAUGACUAUACAAAUUUGCAUUUGUGUUCUUUCUUUCAAUAUUUGCUUUCAAAACUGUGGGAAAAUUUUAAAUUUGAUGAAAUUUUAAAAUUGCACUUCAGACGUAAAAUAUAAAAUUUAUGAAUAUGGACUACCCAUUUUAUUUAUAAUUUUCUGUGUUUUUCUUCUUUGCUGACUUUUUUUAAUGUCAUUUUCUAUCAUGAAAGAAACUUAAAGAUUCACUAUUUAUUUCUCAACCAUUAUGAAAUUACUUGACUAUGGGGGUAGAAUUUUCUCACCAAUUUUCUAACAUGAGAUUUUUUGAAUGAGACAAACAUUCAAUUUUAACACAUUUCCCAUAAUGAGUCACCCCUAUUUGUGAGUGAUUUGGGGAUAAAAGCUUAAACAUUUCUGGAUCACAUUGCAUUUAAGACGGGUGUUUGGAGUUAUAUGAUAUUUUAACAUAGACUGGCUUUUCUAUAAAGAGUACUCCUUGCUUUACUAUUGUCAUGAUACGAGGAGAUACUGAAAAUUAUUGUACUAUGAAAUUUUAAUUCACUCGAAAAAUAAGUGUUUUAUUUCAAGGGAUUAAUAUUAGCUUUCUCUUUUUUAAAUUUUGAAUUUUUUUUGAGAACUGCGUAAUUAAGAAUAUAUCAAUUUUGGGUGUUAUAGGGGUGUUUUAACCUUCCCUAUGUGUAAUCGACUACUAAACUUUUUUAUUCUUUAGAAUUCAACACAUACCUCAAAAUUUUCUUUUUAAAAGAUUUUUAAAAUCUCUUUAUAAAAGAUUAUCAUACUUAACAAAGAUGAUCAGUGACGACUUUUCUUUAAUAAAAUAUUAUGUUUUUGCAAAGACCAAAAUUUUCAUAUUUUUCAAGAAUUCCUCAAUCUAAUUUUCUUUUUGAAUUUUUAUUUUCAAUAGGAAAAUGAUCCCUACAAUUCAUAUUUAUUUUCUCCAUUUUUAAUGUUUUUUUAAGGGAAAUGAAUAGUGGAAUGAUAAUUUUUAGUUAAGGUAAAGUAAAUUUAAUUAUCCACAACCUUCAACUAUUAAUUUUUUGAUUUAAUUACACAAUUUUUUGAAAUUAAUACUCUUUUAUUAGUUGUCGCUAGUUGAGGGACGAAAAGUUGAUUUGGACUUUUUUAUUGACCUAAUAACAAAUUUAGAUAUUCAAAGUUUACUUAUUCUAUCAAUUUAAUGCUAAAUUUAAAAAAUUCAACAAAUCCUAUCAAAAAACAAUUGGACCUUGAGUACACAGGCUGUGAGAUUUUCACAUGGCUGUGUCUACGCUGCACUCUAUUUUAUCAAAUUCGGACAGAGAGUUACACAGGCUGUUCACACAGGCGUGUGCCUCCUUCACAUGGGGCGUGUAGACCUCCACACAGCUUAGGAACUUCCACAUGGUUGGGGCACACGGUCAUGUGGCCUUGUUUUGUAGAUUUUUGUUCUGUGUCAGAUUUUAACUCGUUUUGUGCCUGUGUGUAUUCUGACCCCAGUUAAGACUUAGUAAGAAUGUUUAGGACUUUGAUUAGUUUGAAUUUGUGCAUUUGUUCGUAAUUAAUGUGUUAAUUUAUUAGUUUGAUUAAAUGUUAUGUGAUAUUAUUAGUAAAUAGUUACAAACCUAAUUGAUUCUAAAUCUGAUUGAUUGAACUUGUGUGUUUUGUUUUCUGUAUGAAUGUUUGUAUGUUGUGUGCAUUUUGUAAUCGCAUAAAAAUUUUACGAUUGACUGACUGAAUAUGAGCUUCUAUAUCUAUGACACUAUUAGUGUUUGAUGUGCAUUCAUACACAUGCAUAAAAUUGGGGUUUUGGUUAUGAAGAGAAGGAAGCCUGUUUCGGUAGUUCAACUGUAAUAUUUUUGAACAGCGGUUUACCGUGUGAUUCUAUAUAUAUGUCAGCUCAGCUGCAUAUUAUGAUUUCGAGUGGCUUAGUUUCCACAUUGUAGUGUGUAGGGUGGAUGAACCUUUUAUAGUUCUUGUAAUAGGCCCAAUUUGUCCGAGCCCAACAAAAUAAGUUACAAACCCAAAAUAAACAUUACAAGCCCAAAAAUUUAAAAAAACCUAAUGGCCCAAGUGGCCCAAAACUUAACCUUCUUCAGCCGCCGCUCCUUCCACGCGUGCCAACCUCCUCAUGCGUGCCACCACCUCAGCACCUCCAUACCCUCCACGCUCUCUCUCUGCCACCAUAGCAUGCGUUCUUGCCCCGUACUUGCAGACCAAGCAAAAGAGAGCACAACAGUAAAGAGAAAAACAUUGUAUUUUUCGGCUAUAAAAGCCAUGAACAAAUCAAUGUAAAUUUUUUACAACAAAAAUAAAUACAAAAAAGGAAAUCGGAAACAAAAAAAGGUGGUUCUUUUGUUUUUUGUUUUUAUUUCUUUUCUACUUAUAUUUCUACUAGUUUUUAAGAAAAAUAAAAAAGAAUGGACUCAAAUCUUACCCUUUUCUCGCAUGUGCGCCGUCGUGGGGGGUCGAGGUUCGUCGUUUCCAAUGAAAAACAAUGUUUUUUUUGAGUCGAGGAAGUUGAAAAGUCAAAAAAUGGCCUUCUUUCGAUUUUUUGGCCACCGUGGAUGGCGGCACCGUCACUGGCAACCGGCGACCGGCGGCCUCUACGAUGGUCCGUCGGUUGGAGCCAUGGCCGGAGAGGGGAGUUGAGAGAGAGGGGGAGAGUGAUUUGAGUUUUUUUUUCAGAGAAUGGGGAGAAAUGAACAAUUUUAAAAAAAAUUGGUUUUUAUAGAGGAUUGAAACGGCGCCGUUUUGGGCCUUAAACCCAGUGGCCAAAACGACGUCGUUUCACCCCUUUAAUCCGCGCGUGGACCCGACCUGCAAGAGGAUCCGUGUGUUUUUGUGAAAGGGUCUAUUUGCGCGUUAGACCCUUUCGUAUUUUUCAAUUGUCUUAAUCCAGUCCUUUUUUAUUUUCUAAUUUGUACUUCAAAUUUUAUUUCAUUUUCGAUUUGGUCCUAGCAAAACGGUGCGUUUCAGAGGGCGGGGAUAUUUCCCCAGUUGGUCCCUCUUAGUUAUUCGCGCCUUUCAAAUGGGUCCUCUACCUUAUUUUCAUUCUCGAUUUUUACCCAGAUUUCUGAUUAAACUUCAAUUUAGUCCUUCUGCGUCUAUUAAUUUAUAAUUUUAGCCCCUCUUAUAUUCAUAAACUUAUUUUAUUAGGAUUGGACUCGUAAUUUUAUUUCAAUGUCAAUUUAAUCCCCUUUUAUCUCUGUCUAAGUUUUUUUUUCUUUUUUUUGUGUUUUAUUUAUUUGCUUACCAUUUCUUUUUUUAUUUUGAUUUUCGUAUUUAAUGAUGCUUUUAUUUUAUUUAUUUUAUUCUUGACUUUCAUUGUUAUUAUUGUUGUUGUUGUUGUUGUUGCUGCUGUUAUUUUUAUGGUUUUUUAUUAUUUCAUUUAUUUACAUAUUUUAUUCAAAAUUGUGUCUUUAAAUUUUGUUUACAUUUUAAUUCGGUUCUUUACUUUCAAUAUUUUUUAUAAACUAUUUUCCCUUACAUUAUUUAUGUAUUUAUUUAUUUAUUUCUUUUUAAAGUUGGUAUUGUCCUUUUAUGUGCAUACUUUGACAUUAUUACCAGUGUUAUUGUUUAUUUUAUUUAUCUUUUGAUUAUUAUUAUUAAUGUUAAAGUAGUGUAUAUUAUAUGAUUCUCUAAAUUGUCUUUAUUAUAUUCAUUAUUGUUAUUUAUUAAUGCAACAUUUCAUUAAUGUAUUAUUUUAAAUAUUACACAUUUUUACCCAAAUUUGUAAAAAAUAUAAAAAUUAGAAAAUAAGCAAUAUUUCGUAUUUUGGAAUUCAAAAAGUCGUUCCCUAACUUACGGGGUUUCAAUUUUUUUUUAUAAAUCCAAAUAUACAAACCAUUUUUCAAAAACACAUUUUUAAAAUUAUCUCAGGAAUUAAAAAGAUUGUUUUCCAACUUACGAAAUAUGAUUUCUUUUCUAAAACUGAGAUAAUAAAAAAUUUCUAAAAAUAAAUAAAAUUUUUGGUGUUUAUUCUCGUUUCGAGAUUUAAGGUUAACUCACAGGGUAUAAUUCUGUUUCUCAGUUGACGUAAAAUAUGCCCUUUUUAAAAUUCUUUUAGGUAAUUUUAAUAAAAGGAUCGUAUUUUAAGUCUCUUCAAAAUUUUCAACUUUCAACAUUAAGACAUUAAUUAAUCAAUUAGGUAUCAAUUUUAGGCGUCACGAGGGUGCUAAUCCUUCCUCGCACGUAACGGACUCCCGAAGCCAUUUUUCUCGAAUAUCGUAGACCAAAACCAUUGUUUUAGUAAAAUCGAAACGUUUUGUUAAAACGAUUGGAUUGCAAGGUGAUCCGAUCACACCUCAAAAAAAAUAUCGGUGGCGACUCCAAUUUUUUUUCGUUUUUAUUUUUAAAAUAAAAGUCGACCCCUUUUUUAUUAAAAAAAUGGCUUUGACAGUUCUAUGUGGUGUGCAGGGUAGACGGGCCUUCUAUAGCCCUAAUGUGGUGUGCAGGGUGGUCGAAGUGGUGUUCAAAUGGUUGGGUGGGUUUUUGACUUAUUGCAUACGGUUUGCAUUAGGCAUAUGUGUCUGAUUAUGAUUCUUUUUAAUAUUAUUUGCAAAUGUUUGUACUAAUUUGAUUAUUACAUGUGUUUGAGACAUUGCUUAUGCAGUUUGAUACUAUAUAUUGACUUAUCGAUGUAAGCUUUUCGUAAGUGACCAUCAUAUAGUGCUUGUCUGAAAUAUUUAUGGAGUUAUCCCCUCUUUUACCGACUGUUGUGUUUUGGACUCACACUGAGCUCGCGUAGCUCACCCCCUUAGUUUUCUUCCUUUUAGGUACUCUCGUGUUCUGUAGCUAGUCUCGACAUAUUAGAAGGCUCAGACGGAAGAGGUGAGAUUUGAUUUACUAAAGUGUUUCGAUUCAAUUUUAGUUUUUCUAUCUUCUUGGGACUAUAAGUGUUAAUAGGGACUGUGGUAUAAGUUUUACUUCUGGACUUUCGUAAAUUUUUAUUUUGGGACUGAACUUUUGAAACUGCGGAAUUAUACUUUCUAAUGUUUUUAACAUAAUUUAAAAUUUUUGUUUGAAUCCUGAAUGGUUAAACGACUUAGUUUGAUUUAGCAAAACUGAGUUAUAAAUGAGAUGUUAACAAUUCAUUUUGUAAAAUUAUUUUUCGAUCACUUCGGUGUUCAAAGUAACCUCUGAGAUUCGAUCCAUACUUUUAGGCCGAGUUUUGGGGUGUUACAUUAGUUUUCAAGAGGAGAUUGGUGAUCUACUUGAAGAUAGAUUGAUUUUGAAAACUUUGACUCCUUUUUGCUUUGAGAGUUGAUUUGAAGAGAAAAGAGCUUGAAGGUGCUUUUGUAGAAUUAGGACAAAUUUUAAAAUAAGGAGUAAAUUUGAAAAAAAAGUUUUUGGGUUGGGCUAAUUUGAAAAUUUGACACUUUUGUAGGAUAAAAAUAGAAAAAUAUUUUGGUUGAAUACACAUAAGGAGUUACGAACUUGAGACUUAUAGGUAAACUAAGACCUUACCACUGAACCAACAAGCUCAUUAUUAUUAUCUUUUAACACAAAUAAAUUUUAAGGGCUUACCACUAAGGGCUUGUUUAGCAUUGCUGUGAAGAAGCACUUUUGGCUUAAAAAAUACUUUGAGAGAAAAGUUGUUCUAAGCUAGUAACUUUUGGCUAAGAUUUUGGCUUUUUAAAAGCACUUUUGGCCAAAUGGAGAAGCUAAAAUUUUUAGCUUUUCUUACCCAAAAGCACUUUUGAGUGCUUAAUUACUAAUUCAUCCCUCCAAAAACACAUUUUAAAAUAAAAUAAUACAAAUAUGUUAAUAUUUAGUUACAAAUAUUUAAUGGUUAUAUUUAAAUAUUUAAAAUAUAAUUUAUAAAUUCUAAUUAAAUUUUAUAAAUAAUUAAUAUUUGUUGCUGAAAAAUAUUUAAAAUUUAUAUUUUAUAUAUUAAAAUAUUAACAAAAAAUUAUAAUAAAUUAUUUUUUAUAUUCGUACUAAAAUAUCAUAAUAUUAAUUAAUUUUAAUAUUAUUUAAAUGCAUAUUUGUUAAUUUAUAAUAUCAUGUCUAAGAUUGACGUUUUAUUUCUUAAAAGCACUUUUGAACAUUAAUGUUAAACACUCAAAUCUUAAACUAAACUUCUCAAAGAUACUUUUCUACAACACUUUUUAAAAGCACUUUCCAAAAUCAAUGCUCUUACCUUAUACUUUAAAAGAGAAAAAAAGAUUUUAAAUUUUAUCCCUAUUUCUUUUAACCCAAUUUUUAGGAUGUCAAACAUUUAUAAAUAAAAUAAGAAAAAGGAAAAAAAAGCAUCUACAUAUUGAUGGGUUUUUUUCAUUAGGAGACUUUAUUUUUAUCGCAGGUAAAAGUUUUUAUGGAGAGGAUCAUGUAAAAUUAUGAUCUGAAUAAUUUUAAACAUUUCAUCAUUGCAAAAAUGAAAUAAUAGAAAAGAAUGACUAUACGAAUUUGCAUUUGUGUUCUUUCUUUCAAUAUUUGCUUUCAAAACUGUGGGAAAAUUUUAAAUUUGAUGAAAUUUUAAAAUUGCACUUCAGUAAAAUAUAAAUUUUAUGAAUAUGGACUAGCCAUUUUAUUUAUAAUUUUCUGUGUUUUUCUUCUUUGCUGAAAUUUUUAAUGUCAUUUUCUAUCAUGAAAGAAAAUUGAAGAUUCACUAUUUAUUUCUCAACCACUAUGAAAUUACUUGACUCUGGGGGUAGAAUUUUCUCACCAAUUUUCUAACAUGAGAUUUUUUGAAUGAGACAAAUAUUCAAUUUUAACACAUUUCCCAUAAUGAGUCACCCCUAUUUGUGAGUGAUUUGGGGAUAAAAGCUUAAACAUUUCUGGAUCACAUUGCAUUUAAGAUGGGUGUUUGGAGUUAUAUGAUAUUUUAACAUUGACCGACAUUUCCAUAAAGAGUCCUUGCUUUACUUUGGGUGGUCGUUGGUAUUACUCUCCAACAAUUAUUGUACUGUCAUCCUUAUUCCUACCCCACCUAGCAGAGAAGUUUCAUAAGUGUUUUAUUUCAAGGGAUUAAUAUUAGCUCUCUCUUUUUAAAAAAUUUGAAUUUUUUUUGACAACUGCCUAAUUAAGAAUGUAUCAAUUUUGGGUGUUAUAGGGGUGUUUUAACCUUCCCUAUGUGUAAUCGACUCCUGAACCUUUUUUCCUUUAGAAUUCAACGCAUACCUCAAAUUUGUUUUUUUUAAAAGAUUUUUAAAAUCUCUUUAUAAAAUAUGAUCACGCUUAACAAAAAUAAUCAGUGACGACUUUUCUUUAAUAAAAUAUUAUGUUUUUGCAAAGACCAAAAUUUUCAUAUUUUUCAAGAAUUCUUCAAUCUAAUUUUCUUUUUGAAUUUUUAUUUUCAAGAGGAAAAUGAUCCCUACAAUUAAUAUUUAUUUUCCUUAUUUUUAAUUUAUUUUUAAGGGAGAUGAAUAGUGGAAUGAUAAUUUUUAGUUAAGGUAAAGUAAAUUUAAUUAUCCACAACCUUCAAAUAUUAAUUUUUUCGAUUUAAUUACACAAUUUUUUGAAAUUAACACUCUUUUAUUAGUUGUCGCUAGUUGAGGGACGAAAAGUUGAUUUGGACUUUUUUAUUGACCUAAUAACAAAUUUAGAUAUUCAAAGUUUACUUAUUCUAUCAAUUUAAUGCUAAAUUUAAAAAAUUCAACAAAUGCUAUCAAAAAACAAUUGGACCUUGAGUACACAGGUUGUGAGAUUUUCACAUGGUUGUGUCUACGCUGCACUCUAUUUUAUCAAAUUUGGAUAGAGAGUUACACAGGCUGUUCACACGGUCGUACACCUCCUUCACAUGGGGCGUGUAGACCUCCACACAGCUUAGGAACUUCCACAUGGCUGGGCCACACGGUCAUGUGGCCUUGUUUUGUAGAUUUUUGUUCUGUGUCAGAUUUUGACUCGUUUUGUGCCUCUGUGUAUUCUGACCCCAGUUAAGACUUGGUAAGAAUGUUUAGGACUCUGAUUAGUUUGUAUUUUUGCAUUUGUUCGUAACUAAUGUGUUAAUUUAUUAGUUUGAAAAUUUCACAUUAAACUAAUAAUAUUAGCAAUUAACUUUCAACAAAUCUGUAACAACCUCAAAUCCAGCCUAAACGUUAUGGUCAAAUCUAAAAGGUUACAUCAGUAUGUAGAAAAUUUUGUUCUUCUAAAUGUGUUUUGUUACGAAAUUGAAAACCAAAAUUUAUGUAAGUUCGUCAUGAUUCCUCAAUAGAAAAAUCUGUAAAUUAUCAAAACGUAAAUGUGAACAUAUUAAUUAUUAACUUAAAAAGAACCCAGCCUUAUACAAUCAAAAUGCUAAAUUAAUCAUUUGCCUUGUAAAACUUGUAAUUUUCACUAAAAUUUUUGCAGCGAAAACAUUUUAUUUAGCCUAUUGAGCAUAUUUUUAAAUUUACAUUAUUAACUUUCGUAAAAUCUCAAUCCGUAUUUUUGUGGCGGAAAAUUUUAUAAUUUUGAAAACCUAGCAUUGAUUGUUGGUUAACACAAAUCAUGUAGAAAAAAAAACUUUAACUAAGCCAAAUAAAUCCAAAGCCAAAUUAAAUAAUGAAAGAAUCAAUCCGAGCGCUCGCAAAUUCUAACUUACCGAUUACCUAAAACGUCAUAAAUAAAGCAAAGGGGAGAGCUAUAAAGCUCAAUGCAUAACUAAAACUCAAGCUGAGAUCACACACAAUACAAUAAACAAAUCAUAAAAUCAUAGAAAAAUUCAUAACAAUCAGUCAAACAGAAUUGAGUAUACAUGAUUAUGCCAAUGCGGUAUUUUUCAGAAAAUCUUAAUGCAGAUUUUUCAUGAAAUGUCCUAGCCAAAUCCUCUACACACUUGAAUAGAGUUCUCCAGAACUUAUCCAUAAAAAAAAAAAAAACACACCAAUUAAGUCAUCCUAGGUUGCCCAAAAACGAUGACUCACCACCAUGGGAUGCCCGACAACGAUAGCUUAUCAAUAUGCAAUUAAACUGUUAGAUCAGAUAUUUGUGUUCAAGCCAUUGAAUUGCAACUCAGCUACCGAAACAAAAAUAUGUGGUGAAGCCACUAUAUUGCAUCCAAGCUGCUAAAUAAAAAUAUGUGGAUAAACCACCAGAUAGUGCAGACCAUUAAACUGCCAAAACUUUUUCCCUUCCAUAUUAUCCCAAUCCCAUGCAAUGUGACAUGGCAUGCAUUUACAUAAUCAAAACGACAAGCAUCUAAGGCAUGUAGUCGUACCGUAACAGAAUUUAGAAAGCAUGGCAUUCCACACUUUUACAGAACAGAUGUAUCACAAAUUCAACAAAAGCAAGUUGGAAUGCUAUAAAGUCACAUGCAUGAUCACAUAGCAGAAUCAUAAACAUAAAAAUAACGUAACCAAACCUCAUAUAAUCAUAUACAAACAUAACAAUACAAAUCAUGCUACCAGAUUCAUUAGAAAACAGUUCACGCACACGAAUUUCACAUACCUUAUUCAUAUCACCUACAAUAUCAAAUUAUCAGAUAUUACAUUUUCAAAGUCAGUUUUACACAGUACGAAUCCUACAAAGUGGCUAAACAUGAUUCACGAAUCAAAACGGGCCUAAAGGAAAAUUUUUAGAAAAUGGGCCAACAUGGCCCAAUUAGCCUAGGUCGUAUGGCAUCAACAGUCUAAUUUUUGACUUUCAAUAGUUCAUUAUUUUUUGAGUUUUUCGAUAUACACCUUACUAUUUUCCGAAGCAAAAUCAUGGCAAGAAUUCCAAAACCUAAAAUCGAUAUUCAACCCACUCAAAUUAGCAAUGAAAUCCAAAACUAAAUCGUUAAACAACCAAAACUGCUACCAAUAAACCUUAUCAAACCAGGAAUCAACCUUUUGGAAUCUGACUACUAACCCAGAAUAGUAGCAGUAGUACUAAAAAUCUCUCAAUUCACCGGAAGACUAUUUGUUACAGAAAUGUCACCUAAACCAAAGAUUUCAGAGUAAUCAAAAUCGCGUCACACAAAGAAGGAAACAAAUUAACCCCAAGAUCGUGAAACUCAACAAAGUACGAAUCUUUUCUCAUAUUCCUUACCACCAACCGUCAAGAUUGCUCAAAAACCACUAAUGACACCGACCUUCGCAAGGUUAAAUUGAAACUAAAAGGUAACUAAAGAUGGAACAAAGGUUGUUAUAAAAAAAAUAUUAACAAAGACUUAUUGGAGCAAAAAUUGCGAAAAAUCAAGAAUAAGGAGAUUGGAAAAAAAACAAUGAAACAACAAAGAGAAGGAGUGGGAAAGUGACGACAGUUUGUGGAGAGAUUUUGGGUAAAUAAAAAGUAACUCACAACUCAACCCAUUAAAUCUCAUUACCCUCUAAACAGAUUCCCUUAGAGUUUAAAUUCAACCCAAAUACCACUACAUGGGCGGCAUAGUGUAAGGAAAUAAAAAUAUUUCUACUUUGCACACACAGGGUCUUAAACACGAAAUCUUAGGGUAAUUUGAAGCCUUACCACUAAAUUAGUAGGCUCAUCCUUGAAAUUAAUUGAAUGAAAAUAUUAUUUAUGUCAAAUGAUUAGGGAUAGAGGUUAAGACCAAAGAUGACAAAAAUUCAAAGGAAAGAUUUAAACCUAGAACCUCACGCACACAAGCAUAACACCUAUUCAUUGAACCAGAUUUACUCCGUUGACAUAAUUUUCAAAAUAUUAACUAAAAAUUUAGAAUAUGGUCACUCUUGGUUUCACUUACCCAAUUUCUUCUAACCCGAUUUUUGUGAUGUGACAACUCAUCCCUCCUUAAAAGAAUUUCAUCCUCGAAAUUCCUACUGCGACACCAUACACUUAACCAUAAAAUUUAAAAUUCCUUAGUCCGAAUCGACCACCAGGCUAUCAUUGUACAACUCUAAUCUCCAUUCAAGUCCGAUCCAGACAAUAUUUCAGAGGAAUUUCCUAUUCACUACCUUGAAUUACCUCAAUAAGUUUUCCACAAAAACAUCACUAAUGAUCUUUUACCCCAGACUCUAAAAAACAUCAUUUACCACAAAAUACAGGUACAAAAAAUUCUUAUCAAUGCACAGUACAUUUGGAACAUAUCAUAAAAGUACCUGUAUCAUUGUCAGAUGCAUCACGACUCGCUUGAUACCUAGUUGCAUAUCCACAUCUCAGAUUUUGUUUCUAUACUGAAGCUUGUAACCGACUAAAAUAGUGUCAUGAGCAAUCCUAAACUCGAUGCUCAACGGACCCACAUCUGAAACAUGCUCCCAUUUUCCUCCAACAAUCGUCCGAAUGGUGCCUAUCAUAAUAAGUACAAAUCAGAACCUCAACCGCAUUCACAAUUACCUCACCUCGCUGAAGCCUGUCUAUUUUAGCCUGUUUCCUUGGUCAUGGAUUCAAGUCAAUAGAAACAUCACUCAUCUUAUUUUGCACUUUAUUCAUUACUUAUUCUCUCCCUCCGAGCAAUUACUCUCUACCGCUAACUUGACUUGAUACGCUUGAGGUCACUCAAUCACAGACUCUUGUCCCAUAUAUCCAAAUUAGGUUCCAUCGACCCUUUGCAAAUCUCUAAACACCUCUUGGAACACUGAAACAUCCCCUACUUCUAAACUGCCCUCAGAUUUGGGCGUCAUAGCAAACUUAUUUAUUUUCAAAUUGGGCUUACGGCCCCAAGAAGAGAACUCAGCUCGAGUCACCCGGCUAUGUCCACCACGCCCUCGCACAUCAUGACCUCGAGUACUCAUUACACAAAUCUCCAGUUUGAGAAAUUUUAUGAAUUAGCUUAGGUUUAUUAAAAAUCAUAAGUCUAGAGUUUUAUCAAAGUUUCUUACAUAAUUACCAUAGUCUUUAGCUAGAGUAGAGUAAUCCUAGCACUUAAGUUUUGCUAGUUUGUCUAGUAUAGCUAAAGUAAAGAUACUUACAGGAUCGACGAUGUAGUUUUGGAUUCUAUUUUAUAGAAUCAAAUAUAAAAAUAAUCAAAAUCUAAAUACCCAUUUUAGAAACCCAAAGUAUCAAAAUUAAUCAGAAAUUCAAUUUAUUUAAUGGAGAUUUUCGAACCCAGAAAUCACAGCCCGAGUUUUGUUACCUUGCUCUGAUACUACUAAAUGUAACACCCCAAACUUGGCCUAGACGUUAUGGCUUACAUCAGUACGAAAAAAAUUAUUUUUCCAAAGUGUGUUUUGUUACGAAAUUGAAAACCAAAAUUUAUGUAAGUUCGUCAUGAUUCCCCGAUAGGGAAAUUUGUAAAUUAUCAAAACGUAAAUGUGAACAUAUUAAUUAUUAACUUAAAAAAAAAAACCUAGCCUUAUACAAUCAAGAUACUAAAAUCAUUUGCUUUGUAAAACUUGUAAUUUUGACUAAAAUUUUUGCAACGAAAAUUCCAAACUAAUAUUCGUAAAUUGUAAUUUCGUCAAGUAAAAACGAUUUAUUUUGCCGAUUGGGCAUAUUUUAAAUUUACGUUAUUAAAUUUUGUAAAAUAUCAAUUCGUAUUUUUGUGCUAAAAAAAUGUUAGCUCAUAUAAUUUUGAAAAUCCAACAUUGAUUGUUGAGUAACACAAAACAUACAGAACAAAAAACUUUAACUAAGCCAAAGAAACCCAAAGCAAAAUUAAAUUUGAGAAAUUAAACCAAAAUCCAAAAGUCCAGUAAAUCCAUUUAUUAACCAGAGUAAACCAUUUAAUUAGAGAAUCAAUUCGAGCUUCCGCACACAGCCCGAUUCUAACUUAUCGAUUAUCUGAAACAUCAGAAAUAAAACAAAUGGGUGAGCUAUAAAGCUUAGUGCAUAACUAAAACUCAAGCCGAGAUCACACACAAUACAUUAUACAAAUCAUAAAAUCAUAGGAAAUUUCAUAACAAUCAGUCAAACAAAAUUAAGCAUACAUGAUUAUGCCAAUGUGGUAGUUUUCAGAAAAUCAUAAUGCAAAUUUUUUCAGAAAACAUCCUACCCAACACCACUACACAGCCGAAUAUAGUUCCCUAAAACUCGUCCAUCUAAAAACACACCAAUUAAGUCAUCUUAGGUUUCCCGAAAACGAUGACCUACCACCUCGAGUUAGUCGGCAGUGAUGACUUAUCAAUAUGCAGUUAAACUACCAAAUCAAAUAUUUGUGGUCAAGCGAUUGUAUUGCAGCUAAGCUGCCAGAUCAAAUGUUCCUAGUAUAGUCCAUAACAUUAUCAGAUGUUCUCGGCUCAGUCCUUUGGACAUUAAAAAAAUAGAUUUGGAUAUCCAAUUAAUCAUAAAUUGCUAGGUGGUAUAUGCUGAAGUCACGAUAACAUCAUCAUCAAGAAAAAAACCAAAAAAUUCUUUAAAAAAUAUCAUAAAAUUCAAAUAAAUUUAUAUAAAAUUAACUACAUUAUAAAUAUAUAAUUGUUCAAAAAUAAAAAUUCUUAAUUUUUUUUAAAAUUUGUAAAAAUAAUAAAAUUAUUAGAAAUUGUUAAAUAUUGUAAAACAUUAUAAAAAUUAUUAGAAUCAUAAAAGACGGUAAAAAAUAAAAAGUUAAAAUACUAGUAAAAAUUGUCUAACUUGAAAUAAAGUAUACAUUUGGUAAUCAAAUUUAAAAUAUUGAAAAUUUGAUAUUAAAGUUGUAUAUAGUAAUACAAUCAAAUUUUAUAAAAAAAAUAUUUUAAAAUAUUUUAAUAAAAAUCAAAUAAAUUUUAUAUCAAUUUUUUGUACUUUACCAAUGUUACUGGCAGCAAGAUUUUUCUACUCGAAUCCCUAUUUAUUGUCUUAAAUAGCUUCCUGCAUCCACCAUUUUGCACAUGGUUUUUCUAUUUUAUACCAAAGCUCUUUAGAAUAGUUAAACAUUCAACAAUAGUUCUAAAGAUAUUAGUUUAGAGACAAAUAAUUAUCUUGAGAUAGUAAAAAAAAUUGAAAUAAUUAAAUAUAUUAUUUACUUGAAAUAAUAUUAUUUUUCAUUAUUUAAAUUAUUUGAAAAAAAAACUUAUUCAAGUUUAUCACGUAAAAAGAUCUACCAAUUAUAAAUUCUGAUUAGUUGAACCAUAAGACAAUUGUUAUAGGUAGUAUCCUUCCAAGAGACAAUUAUCACAUGUUCAAACUCUAGUCAAUAUGAUUUAUAAAAUUUUAAAAAUAUUAAAAUAUCUAAUAUAUAUUUGAAAAUUAUGUAAAUUUUUAUAUUUUACAUAGUUUUUUUUGUAUUUUUCUGAUUUUAGAUUUUUUCUAUUUUUAAAUAAUUUUGAUAAUUUUGUAAUUUUUCUUUUAUAAUUUUUGUCAUUUUUGAAGAUUUUUUAAGGGUUUUUGUUGAUGAUGUCAUUAUGAUAGCAUCAUAUGACAUGUGGUAGUAUAUGAUUUGUUGAAUAUCCCAACGAAUUUUUUAUUGUCCAAUGAACUAAACUGAAAAUUUUUAAUAACAUUAGGGACUGAAGUGGAUAAAAAUAUUUUAAAAACUAAAGUUAAAAAAGUGAUAUACUUCAGGGACACAGCAUUAACAUUUUCUAAAAGAUGGAAGUGUUUUUGUUUUUUAAGUGAAUAUAAUUUUUUUGAGUGAAUAUAGUUUUGUGAGGGAGUAGUAAUAUUAUUAUUAGAGACAAGGCAUUUGAUUUUUAUAUAACUUUUUAAUUAAGUCAAUAUCACUCAUUGAGUAAAACCCAACAUAUUAAGCACAUUACUGUACUAAUUUAGAUUAAUAGGAAUGAUCAAAUUUACAAUUAAGGAUUAUAAAUUUAUUUAAUUCCAAUCUUCUACCUUCCUUUAAAUUAUAAGAAUGGUUUUGCCUUAUAUUUUCUUCAAAUUGAGAUUUAAUUUAUAAUUUUAAAUUUUUGAUAUAAUUUAGUUUCUCAAUUUUAUAAUGCAAUUAAUUAGUUUAAAUACUUUAUUUUAAUCAAAAUAAUUAUGUUAAUUUUAAAGAAUUGUUAUCACCGUUAAAAUUCUUUACUAACAAUUAUUUAAAAUUAAGUUCUAUCAUGCUUUUGUUUUAGCUUACACAUAGAUGUUUACAAUAUAAAAUUCUUUAUAAUUUUCAAUACAUAUUACUUAAAUAAAUAGAAAAUAGAGUUUUAAUAAUGCACAACCAAAUAAUUUUUAUUGAUGUUAUAUUAUUUUGAUUUCUUAGACUUGUACAUAGGGAAAAUAAAGGACUAUUGCCAUUAAUUAAUCGCUUUAAAACAAUUUUAAUGAGCUCUAGUCAUGCAAGAUUACCAUUAAAUUGAAUACUCAUAUAGAAGGAUUUAAUAUUUUUGUUUCUCAAAUCACAACUAAUAAUUAUUCAUAAUUUCUUAUUCAGUGUCAUUUUUAAGAUUGAUUAGAUGACAAAUUUUCAUGCCAAAGUUUUAUUUUUAUUUGAUUUAAAUUUUUACAAUAUUUAAAAAAUUAUAUAUUUUGUAAAUUUGAUAUUCAAUCAAUUUUAGAUUUAAAAAGUAAUGAUGAUUUUAACCCAAGGCCUGAGCUAAGAAUAGUUAUAGUUAAAUAAAAUACUGGUAUGAAAUAGUUUAAUUAUUUGAUCACAUUUUUCCAUGCCAAAAUUUUAUUUUUAUUUUUGAUUUAAAAUUUUACAAUUUUUAUAUUGUGAAUUUGGUGUGCAAUGAAUAUGUGUACUAAAAGAUGUAAAUUUACAGGUAAUUUACCACCCAUCACCAGUGCUCCAAAGCUUGAGAUUCUUUUAUUGUGGGGAAAUAAACUUGGCGGAAACAUUCUCAAUUCUAUCUCCAAUGCUUCCAUGCUUAAGAAACUAGACUUGGCAGAUAACUUAUUCUCUGGCCCAAUCCCUAAAACAUUUGACAACUUAAGACACCUUGAAUGGUUCCAAAUUUCAAACAAUAAUUUGAUCAAAGGACCUGCUACUGAUCAUGAGUGGACCUUUCUUUCUUCUUUGGCAAAUUGCAAGCAUUUGAGAAUAAUAGAUGUUUCAAGAAAUCCAUUGAGUGACGUUCUUCCAACUUAUAUUGGGAACCUUUCAAAAUCCCUUCAAUACUUUUAUGCCUCUAAUUGUGAGAUUACAGACAAUAUUCCUAUGUAAAUAGGUAGCUUAAGCAACCUAUUGCUUUUACAACUUGGCUAUAAUAAAUUAAGCUUUAUUCCGACACCGAUAGGACUGCAAAAUUUGCAAGGUUUACAACUUUCCUCUAAUAAAUUAGAGGGGCCUAUAUCAGAAAGCCUUUGUGGUUUGGAGAGAUUAUACUACUUGUAUUUAAGGCUGAUUAGGUUGCAUGGAUCCAUACCCUCUUGUAUGGGUAAUAUUUCUUCUUUGAGAUAUCUUUACUUAGAUUCCAACACAUUGAGUUCUACAAUACCCUCAACUUUGUGGAAUCUUAAAGAUAUCUUAGAAAUAGAUUUAUCAUCAAAUUAUCUUUACAAUUCACAUGCUAUAUUGAUGUUGGAGAUUUGAGGAGUCUACUAAAACUAAAUUUACCAAGGAAUCUUCUCACGGGCAAUAUCUUAUCCACAUUUAGGGGUCUUCAAACUUUGAUUUCAAUAGAUUUAUUAAAUAAUAUACUACAUGGUCAUAUCCCUGGAUCAUUAGGUGGUUUGAUUAGUUUGGAAUUCUUGAAUUUAUGCAAUAACAAUCUCUCUGGAGCCAUUCCCAAAUCUUUGGAAAAGCUUUUAGAUCUCAAGUAUUUUAUUGUGCCUUUCAAUAGACUUGAAGAGGAAAUUCCCACCGAGGGAUGUUUUUCAAACUUCUCUAGCACAUCAUUCACGAAGAAUUUUGCACUUUGUGGUCCACCUAGAUUGCUACUCCCACCUUGCAAAAACGACAUCCAAGAAAACUCCCAAAUGAAUAUAUUGCAUGCUUUAAGGUAUGGUUUACCAACAAUUGGUAUCGUCGUAGUACUAAUAGUCUUAACUAUUAUGUACAGAAGAUGCCAAAGUAGGAGUACAACUCUACCAAUUAAGGAUGAUUUGUUGUCUUUGAAAACGCUGAGAAGAAUUUCACAUGCUGAACUUUCACAAGAAACUAAUGGAUUUGAGGAAAACAAUAUGCUUGGUUCAAGGAGUUUUGGAUAUGUAUAUAAAGAGAAGCUUUCAGAUGGAAUGGAAGUUGCAAUAAAAAUUUUCAAUUUGCAAACAGAAGAAGCAUUUAGGAGUUUUGACAUUGAAUGCGAUGCUAUGCGUAAUAUAGAUCAUUGUAAUAUUGUGAAGGUCACUACUUGCUGCUCAAGUGUUGACUUCAAAGCCUUGGUGCUUGAUUACAUGUCUAAUGGAAAUAUUGAGAAAUGGUUAUAUUAUUAAAACUAUUUCCUUGAUAUCAUACAAAGGGUUGACAAGAUGAUAGAUGUUGCGUCAGCGAUAGAACAUCUCCACAACGGGCAUCCAACACCUAUAAUUCAUUGUGACUUAAAACCAAGCAAUAUUUUACUAGAUGAAGACAUAGUUGCACAUGUGGGAGAUUUUGGCGUUGCCAAAUUGUUGGGAGAAUGUGAUGUAAUGAAGCAGACCAUGACUAUUGCAACAAUCGGGUAUACGGCACCAGGUGAAUUUUUUUAUUUGUGUAUUAUUAUUUUUCUAAUAUGGAUUUUAUAUUUUGUUUGGAUAUAUAUUUGAAUAAUCAUUUUAGAAACAAUUAAAGAUUAACGAUGCUCUAAUUAUACUUGAAAUGCAAAAUUUGGAUCAACAGGAAUUGUUUCUAUAAAGUGUGACAUCUAUAGUUAUGAGAUUGUCCUUAUACAAACUUUCACAAAGAAAAAGUCAACUGAUAAUUUUUUGCUGAAGAAGUGACUAUAAAGCAUUGGAUGGAAAGUUCAUUGCCAAAGGAGCAUGAAAAUCCCCAAAACCCUAAAUUCUUUCCUUCUAGCAAUGAAGAGAUGGUGAGAGGAAAGGAAAAAAAAUCACGUCAAAUGAAAAGAAAAGAAAAAGAAAUUGAACAAAAUUAAAUUUAUGUGGAAAUUGUUUUAAUACUUUUAAUUUGAGUUGGAAAAGGUUGAUGAUGUGGCAUAAAAUAAUUGGAUAGGACCAUAUUUGAGGUAGUGGGAAAGGUCCAAUAUGGAAUAAUUUUUCUAUGUUAUCAAAUAGAUGAAUGAUAGUAAUUGGGAUCAAACUAAUGAUUUGGAUGAUGUUAAUGGUUAAUUUGGUGCAGAGGGUGGAAAAGAAACAAAUAAUUCAUUAUAUGUAAUAUAUAGUAAGUUUCAUACAUAAAAGUUUCAUACAAGGUUCAAAGGCAACUAAAUGACUUGUAAGUUAGUUGAACUUCUUUGAAAGGCGCAAAGGCAAUUGAACAUUUACAAAAUAGUCUCUAAAUACUGUAGACACAAAUCAAAUCAUGGGAGCAUUACAAUUGGUUAAAUUGAGCACUGGCAGAAAUUCCAUCAUAGGAAAUAUUGGCAAAAUCGUCUAUUGAAUUAGAAAAACAACAUAAUCCAUGAAACAUAGAUAGCCCAAUACAAACAUCAUCGAGAAAAAAAAGUCUUUUUGUUUUAUAGCACAUGAUAGUAAAGCAUGCGAAGUUUCAUUCUUCUUAUUGGCCUCCUUUAGUUUUCCUUGAUCAACAACCACUAGCCAAAAACACAAUUAGAUUAGAUUAUAAAUGAAACAUUCAAUUAUGAUAAUUUAAAUAGAAAACACCCUAAAUAACUCUAAAUAAAUGAAAAGUAGCAAAUUACUUGGUGAGGCAAGCUAGCUCAAUUAAGAGCACCAUUGUGUUAGACUUGUCUAUGCAUUAAACAAUCUAAAAGAAAAUGAAGAAAAAGACUUAGAAAACACUUGAAAAUUGACAAAAUUUUUAUGCCAUUGACUGGUUAAACUAUGAUCACCCAUAACAGAUCUUGUAUUUGAGUUUUUGUUGAGGGAGAUCAAGUCCUUCAAGAAAAGUUUUCUAAGUGCUGUCUGUUAGGUAAUCGCUGCUAUUCUCAACAAAAGAUAUUGUCCCCAUGUCAAGAUUUUAUCCUCAGCCUUCAUGGAAUAAUCAUGGAGAUUACAUGUGCAAGGAUUCAAACCACCAACCAAUACAUAUGUAGCAUUUACCUUGGAACCAUCUCCGUGAAUCCACAAGGUUCUUCACGGAAUCAAGAGACAAAACCCCAACACAAGAAUAAUACCAUCUAUUGAGGGGUCCUUUAACACAACAAAUGAAAUUCAUACAUUUUUUUAAUCAAAGUAAAUAUCAUAUUUAAUUGGGGAAAAGCAACAAAAAAAUCCAACAAAAAAAUCCUUAGCAAAAGAUUAAAACACAUUUACAUCGUAAAUGACAUAAGAAACUCCAAUCUAACAAAGAAAAUAACUUGAUGCUCCAAAGCUACCAUAUACUGUAAUUCAUGGGAAGGUCUGAUGCUCAUUUUAUUGGUUUCCAUCUUGAUUUUGCAAAAGAAGUUUGAAUUCUGAAGAGAGCAAAUGAUUGAGCGAAAGAAAAAAAAUUAGUUUAUUAAUUUUCACAAUUUAUAAGACAAACCUUAUGGAGACAAAUAAUGACAUAUUAGAUAUUUGUGAUUAAAAUUCUAGAAUAGAUUAAAAAUGUUGAAUUAAUGAUAAAAUUAAUAGUGAAUUAAUAACAACAAGCGUACUGAUUACUUAGCUUCUUUGUUAAACAUGUUCGAUGUUGUUUAACAGCCUUCGUUUGAUUUUCUUUAGCUCAACGACAAAAUCUUUCAUAUCUUUUCUUUCUUCUGGUAACUCAGCUGAACAAUUCAAAGCCAACUCCAUGAUGGAUGAAAUACAAUUUGCUUUAACAACAAUGUACUCAUCCUCUCUUCUUAGUAAAUCAACAUCUGCAAUUUCUAUCGCUCCUUUAGGCAAUGAACUUUCCAUCCAAUGCCUUAUAGUCACUUCUUCAGCAAAAAAAAUUAUCAGUUGGCUUUUUCUUUGUAAAAGUUUCUAUAAGGAUGCUCCCAUAACUAUAGACGUCACAUUUUAUACAAACAAUUCCUGUUGAUCCAAAUUCUGCAUUUCAAGUAUAAUUAGAACAUCAUCAAUCCUUAAUUAUUUCUAAAAUGCUUAUUCAAAUAUAUAUCAAUAUACGCAUGAAACAAAAGUAUAAAAUGCAAAUUAGGAAAAUAAUCAUACAAAAAAAAAAUUCACCUGGUGCCAUAUAUCCGAUAGUUGCAAGAGUCAUGGUUUGCUUCAUUACAUCACCUUCUCCCAACAAUUUGGCAACAACAAAAUCUCCCACAUGUGCAACCAUGUCUUUAUCUAGUAAAAUAUUGCUUGGUUUUAAGUCGCAAUGAAUUAUAGAUGUUGGAUGUCCAUUGUGGAAAUGUUCUACAGCUACCGCAACAUCUAUCAUUAUGUCGACCCUUUGUAUGAUAUCAAGGAAACAAAUUUCGGAAUGUAACCAUUUCUCAAGGUUUCCAUUAGACAUGUAAUCAAGCACCAAGGCUUUAAAGUCAACACUUGAGCAGCAAGUAAUGACCUUCACAAUAUUACGAUGAACUAUAUUACGCAUAGCAUCACAUUCAAUGUCAAUACUCCUAAAUGCUCCCUCUGUUUGCAAAUUAAAAACUUUUAUUGCAACUUCCAUUCCAUCUGAAAGCCUCUCUUUAUAUACAUAUCCAAAACUCCUUGAACCAAGCAUAUUGUUUUCCUCAAAUCCAUUAGUUACUUGUGAAAGUUCAGCAUGUGAAAUUCUUCUCAGCGUUUUCAAAGACAACAAAUCAUCCUUAAUUGGUAGAGUUGUACUCCUACUUUGGCAUCUUCUAUACAUAAUAGUUAAGACUAUUGGUAAUACGACAAUACCAAUUGUUGGUAAACCAUACCUUAAAGCAUGCAAUAUAUUCAUUUGGGACUAGCAAUCUCGGUGGACCACAAAGUGCAAAAUUCUUCAUGAAUGAUGUGCUAGAAAAGUUUAAAAAACAUGCUUCGGUGGGAAUUUCCCCUUCAAGGCUAUUGAAAGACACAAUAAAAUACUUUAGAUCUAACAGCUUUUCCAAAGAUUUGGUAAUGGCUCCAGAGAGAUUGUUAUUGCAUAAAUUCAAGAAUUCUAAAUUAACUAAUCAAACCACCUAAUGAUCCAGGGAUAUGACCAUGUAGUUUAGUACUUAAUAAAUCUAAUGAAAUCAAAGUUUGAAGACUCCCAAAUGUGGAUAAGAUAUCGCCUGUGAGAAUAUUCCUUGAUAAAUUUAGUUUCAAUAAACUCCUCAAAUUUCCAACAUCAAUAACAUGUGAAUUGUGAAGAUGGUUUGAUGAUAAAUCUAUUUCUAAGAUAUCUUUAAGAUUCCACAAAGUUGAGGGUGUUGCAAAACUCAAUUUGUUGGAAUUUAAGUAAAGAUAUCUCAAAGAAGUAAUAUAACCCAAACAAGAGGGUAUGGAUCCAUGCAAGUUAUUCAACCCUAAAUACAUCUCGUAUAGUCUUUCCAAAUCACAAAGGCUUUUUGAGAUAGGUCCUCCUAAUUUAUUCGAGUGAAAAGUUAGACUUUGGAGAUUUCUCAUUCCUCUUAUUGAUGCUGGAAUAAAUCCACUUAAUUGAUUAUACCCAAGUUGUAAAAGCAAUAGGUUGUUUAAGUUACCUAUUUCCAUAGGAAUAUUGCCUUUAGGCUCACAAUUAUUGGCAAAAAAGUAUUGAAGGGGUUUUGAAAGGUUCCCGAUAUAAGUAGGAAGAACAUCACUCAAUGGAUUUCCUGAAACAACUAUUCUUCUCAAAUGCCUGCAAUUUGCCAAAGAAGAAAGAAAGGUCCACUCAUGAUCAAUAGCAGAUCCUGUGUGUUAGUCAUAUAGUUUAAUUUAAUUUUAGUUAGUUAGUUAGCAGUUAUGUUUCUAUUAUUUUCUUGCUGUUAUUUCGUUUCCAAUUUGUAUAUAACAACACCUUUACAUCAAAUAUAACUUAAGCAGUUUUCUUUUACUCUUAUUCUACAUGGUAUCAGAUGUAAAAUUCUUCUAUUCUAUUGCAUUUUCUUGCAGUUAUAAUUUUCCUACACUUUUUUGCUUCCCAAACACUCUGUCUCUUUGAUUUUUUUCCCUACGAUGUCACUCCAUGAUCCUAUGCUACCUUCUUGUCCUUAUUAUCUUCAUCCCAAUGAAAAUCCAGCCUUAGUUCUUGUUUCUCCUGUCCUAUCUAGCUCGAAUUAUCAUUCUUGGUCUCGAGCAAUGACAAUGGCGCUUUUAUCCAAGAACAAGCUUCAGGUCGUUGAUGGCACCAUCACAGUUCUGCUCCGAACAGAUCCUCUUUAUUUAGCCUGGGAACGGUGUAAUACUAUGGUGCUUUCUUGGCUGCAUCACUCUAUCUCGCCUUCGAUCAUGAACAGUAUUCUUUGGCUCGAUUUUGCUAUACUGUUUGGUGUGAUCUUCGUGAACGUUUUUCUCAAGGAGAUGUUUUUCGCAUUUCUAAUCUCCAAGAAGAGAUCAAUGCUUUCAAGCAAGAUGAUCACUCGGUCACUGAUUACUUUACUGAGUUGAAGAUUAUCUGGGAUGAGUUGAUGAAUUUUCGACUGAUUCUCGUCUGUUCUUGUCCAACAUCUUGUUCUUGUGGUGUUUUUGCUACUCUUCAAAAAUAUCAUGAUAAUGAUUAUGUUAUUCGAUUUCUUAGAGGCCUUCAUGAUCGUUUUGCUGCUAUCCACUCUCAAAUUAUGCUCAUUGAUCCGUUGCCUCCAAUCAAUAAAGCUUUUUCUUUGGUCAUUCAACAGGAACGCCAUCUUACUACUAGAUCUUCUCAAGUGUUUGUUAGUAGCACACUGCGCCAACACUUUUCUUCCAAGAAAUCUCAGGCAAAAUCGUUUCCUGACUCAUGGUAGUGCACCUUUCGUGGUAAAUCCAGGCAUACUGUUGAUACCUGCUAUGAGGAACAUGGUUAUCCACCUGGUUAUAAGUCUUGAGGUCGGGUUUCUUGUGCACACACAGUGCUUAAUGCAGGUGCUGCACAACCCUUGAACUCUUCACAGUCUAUUGCUAUCUUGCCAUCUGAUUCUUCUGUUACUUUGACACAAGACCAGUUACAACAGCUGCUUGCAUUACUUCCAUCUUCCAACUCUCCCUCCCCACCUCAUGUUACCAACACUGCCUCUUCCUUACAUCAAAUGCCUUCUACAUCCUCAGGUAACCUCUUUUCCUUUCAAUCCCACCAUUGGAUCAUAGACAUUGGUGCGACUGAUCACAUUACACACUCUUUAUCCUUCUUUUCCUCUUUUCAUUCAAUUAAACCUGUAUAUAUCACUCUUCCAAAUGGCACCAAAGUCUGUGCUCGAAUUUUUGAUACAGUCAUUUUCAGUGAUAGCCUUUAUAUUACAAAUGUUCUUUAUGUUCCUUAAUUUACUUUAAACCUCUUAUCUGUCACUAAACUUACUGCUACAUUACCUUGUUCAUUUACUUUUCACAAAACUUGUUGCUCCUUACAGGCCCUUCCCUCUUUGAAGAUGAUUGGUACAGCUAAAUUUUUUCAUGGUCUUUAUAUUUUGGAAUCCCCAGCUCAAACCUUCUCCAUUCCCGUUCCCACUACCUUGUCAGCUACCACCCCUUCAUGUUCCUUUUGGCAUCAUCAUCUCGGUCACCUUUCUGAUUCUAGAUUGAAGCUACUUUCCCCUUACAUUCCUUCUUUGUCCAUGACAAACAAUGCAAAUUGUAUAGCAUGUCAUCUGGCAAAGCAAAAGAAAAUACAUUUUCCUGUAAGCACUUCUGUUUCCAAUAAAAUAUUUGAACUUGUUCAUAUUGAUAUUUGGGGCCCGACUGAAGUUGUUUCUAUCACUGGUCAUCGUUAUUUUUUAACCAUUGUUGAUGAUUUCAGUAAUUUUACUUGGAUCAUUCUAUUGAAAACAAAAUCUGAAGUUCAUACUCAUAUUCAGAAUUUUUUCACACUUAUUGAAACUCAAUUUUCCUCCAAAAUUAAAGUCAUUCGAACUGAUAAUGGCUGUGAGUUUGUUAUUCCAGCUUUUUAUGCUUCUAAAGGAAUUAUUCUUCAAACCUCAUGUGUUGAAACUCCACAACAAAACAGUCUUGUUAAACGUAAGCACCAACACAUUCUUAAUGUGUCACGGGCUCUCUUAUUUCAUUCUGCUCUACUUAAGCAUUUUUGGGGACAUGUUGUUCUUCAUUCUAUUUUUCUUAUUAAUCGCACCCCAACUCCUCUUUCGACAAACUAUGCCAAACUAAACCUAAUUUUCAGCAUGUACGUGUCUUUGGUUGUCUUUGUUUUGCUACAACCCUUACUGCUCAUCGUCACAAAUUUGAUCCUUGAGCACGUGAGUGUGUUUUUCUUGGAUUUCCACCACAUGUUAAAGGUUAUAUUCUUUUUGACCUGUCAUCUCAUGCCAUCUUUGUCUCAAGAAAUGUCAUCUUUCGGGAGCCAGUCUUUCCUUUUUCUCAUCCACCAUCUCCUUCUUCCACCCCACAAUUGACCUUUGACCCCUCCAUUACUUAUGAUUUGCCACCUCAACCACAGGUCCCACCUCUUGCUCCCUUCGUCUUAGGAAACCACCUUCUUAUUUAGACCAAUAUCAUUAUUUUUUAAGCAAGGCUGCUACCAAUCAUCCUCGAUGCCCCACACCCUUUACUCUUGCCAUUAAUGCUUUUUCUAUACCUACUACAUAUUUACAAGCUAGUAAAAUUUCCCAUUGGCGAGAAGCAAUGCAAGCUAAAAUUUCUACUCUUGAACAAAAUAACACCUGGAUCAUUAUGGACUUACCUCCAGGCAAGACUGCAAUCGGUUGUAAAUGGGUUUAUCGAGUGAAAUACCGAGCUAAUGGUUCUAUUGAACGUUACAAGGCUCGUUUGGUUGCUAAGGGGUUCACACAAAUCGAGGGUGUCGAUUAUUUUGAUAAUUUUUCCCUGUCGUAAAGCUUACCACCGUUCGCUUGUUGCUUGCUAUUGCUGCUUCUAAAAAUUGGUUUUUGCACCACCUUGAUGUUAACAAUGUGUUUUUGCAUGGAGAUUUGAUUGAAGAGGUUUAUAUGCUUCUACUUCCUGGUUUUGAUUCAUCAACUCUCAAUAAGGUUUGUAAGUUGCAAAAAUCCUUAUAUGGUCUAAAGCAAGCAAGUUGACAGUGGUUUGAUAAACUCACAUCAGCUCUUACUUCUCUUGGUUAUAUUCAAUCCAGUUCUGAUUUCUCCUUGUUUGUUAAAAAGGAUGACAUUUAUUUUACUGCAUUAUUAGUUUAUGUUGAUGAUGUUCUUCUAGCUGGUGAUCAUUUCGAUGAAAUAUCAAGAGUUAAAGCCUUUUUGGAUUCUACAUUUAGCAUCAAAGACUUGGGUGAUCUAAAGUAUUUUCUUGGCCAUGAGGUUGCUCGCAGCUCUGCUAGUAUUCAUCUUUGUUAACAAAAAUAUGCCAUAGACAUACUGUUUGACUUUGGUUUCUCAGAUUGCAAGCCUGUUAAGACUCCAACGGCCACCAAAAUUCCUCGAGAUGCCUCUGCAGAUUUGCUUCCUAACAACACUCUUUUCAGGAAACUUAUUGGUCGCCUCUUGUAUCUGGUUUCCACUAGACCUGAUCUUGCUUUUGCAAUUCAACAGUUGAGUCAAUUCUUGGACUGACCUACAGUCAUUCAUCUCCAAGCUGCUCAUCGUGUUCUUCGCUAUCUGAAUGUGUGCCUUGAUUUUGGUCUUUUCUUUUCUGCUUCUUCAUCACCUGUACUGAAGGCUUUUAGUGAUUCUGACUGGGCUGGUUGUCCUCUCACACGCCGUUCUGUGACUGGUUAUUGCCUGUUUUAUGGUGAUUCCCUUGUUAGUUGGAAAGCCAAGAAGCAAAGCAGUGUGUCCCGUUCUUCCUUAGAAGCAGAAUAUCGUGCCCUUACCUCUACUGUUUGUGAAAUUCAGUGGCUUCGAUUUCUUUUAUGUGAUUUGCACUUGUCUAUUUCUGGUCCUACUGCCUUGUUUUGUGACAACAAUUCCGCUCUUCAGAUUGCUGCAAAUCCUACGUUUCAUGAAUGUACUAAACAUAUCGAAAUCGACUGUCAUCUUGUUCGUGAGAAGGUGCAGUCCAGUGUCGUUAAACUGCUUCCUUGUUCUUCCAAGGAUCAACUUGCUGAUAUCUUCACUAAAGCUCUUGCUGCUAUUCCUUUUCAGCUUAUAUUGUCCAAGUUGGGAUUGUUUCCCAUACACUCUCCAGCUUGAGGGGGGCUGUUAGUCAUAUAGUUUAAUUUAAUUUUAGUUAGUUAGUUAGCAGUUAUGUUUCUGUUAUUUUCUUGCUGUUAUUUCAUUUCUAAUUUGUAUAUAACAACACCUUGACAUCAAAUAUAAUUUGAGCAAUUUUCUUUUACUCUUAUUCUACAGUGAUCAAAUUAUUAUUUAUGAUUCGGAGCACUUCAAGGUGUCUUAAGUUGCCAAGCGUUUUAGGAAUUGGGCCAGAGAAUAAGUUAUCUUCCAAGGCUAGAUUCUUAAGCAUGGAAGCAUUGGAGAUAGAGCUGGUAAUGUUUCCGCUAAAUUUAUUUCCCCACAAUACAAGAUUCUCAAGUUUUGGAGCAUUGGUAAGGGUGGUAGAGUACCUGUAAAAUAGCAUCUUUUAAUAUACAUAGUUAUUGAAUACCGAAUUCACAAAAUAUAUAAUACAUUAAAAUACAUUUUUAAAAAUAAAAAUUGUAAAACAUUAAAUCAAAUAAAAAUAAAAUUUUGGCAUGGAAAAAUGUGAUCAAAUCAAUUAGUCCCUUUGUGAUUUGUAUAAACAAAAAAUAAAAUAAAACCAUUCCAUACCAGUAUUGUAUUUGAUCUAAUGAUAGGGUUGUAAGUUACUUGUAAAAAUUACAUGCUUUAGUAUAUAAAUUUGUACUCCAAACUAAAAAUGAACUCCUCACUAUUCUUAGCCUAAGCCUUGGGUUGAAAUCAUCAUUACUUUUUAGAUCUAAAAUUGAUUGAAUAUCAAAUUUGUAAAAUAUUGUAAAAUUUUGAAUCAAAUAAAAACAAAACUUUGGCAUGAAAAUGUGGCAUCUAAUCAAUUUUAAAAAUGACACUGACACUGAAUACGAAAUUAUGAAUACAAAUUAGUUAUGAUUUGGGAACCAAAAAUAUUAAAUUAUACUGUAUGAUUUGGUAUUAGUUAUUAUUUUAAAUAAUAUUGUUAAUUUUUAAUUACAUGAAGUAAAACUAUUGUAUGUUAAAUAUGGUUUUAAUUAUGUCUUGAAAUAUUAUUAUUAUAUUUCAACUACUCUAUAAUAUUUUAAUUAUGUUUAGCCAUUUGAAUAACAAACUAAAAAACUAAUUAAAAGCUAAUUACUUCUUUAAGUAUAAUGGAAAUUAAAAAUUUUAAAAAUAAAUCAAUUCAUAUAAAUUUUAAUGUUUAUUAUCAAAUUAAUACAUUUUAAUAGAUGAUAAAAUAUAUGAGCAAAAAAGAAGAAACAAAUUAAAGAGAAUGUUUUUGGAGUUUGGAAAAAAUUAAAGUGAAAAACAUACCUUCUAAUUUGUUGUCAUAUAGAUCUAUUUCUUCGAGCGUAGUUGAAUUAAAAACACUUUCCGUAAUCAGCCCACUGAAUUGAUUUGCUGCUAAGGCUCUGUUUGUUUCACUGAAAAUGGCUUACUUUUCUAAAAAAGCUAAUAUUUUCUGGUGUUUGAAUGAAUCUGUGUAAAAUAUUUUCUUUUGUUUGGCAGGUUCUUUAAAAAUAUUUCAUAAAAGUUGUUUUCAAUUAAACAAACAUACAUUUGAGAUUUUUUUUUAUUUUUCAUUGUUUAAUUGAGUUUAUUUUAUAUCUAUAAUUUUAUAUUUUACAUUGUUUUACAUAUAUUAAAAAUAUUUUGUUAAAUUUAGGUUUAUUGUAAUGAUUAGUUUUUAGUUACAUGACUACCAACUGAGUAUUUUUUUUAUUUAAAAAUGUGACAUUAACAAAAUUGACAAAAAAAAUCAACAAUGUCAGUAGUUGGACUUGAUUUUCAAAUCUGGAAAGUAGAGGGAUUAAAUUUUUGAAAAUAAAAGUACAGAAACUAAAUUGCAAAUUUUUGAAGAGUAUAUAGACUUAUGACAUAUUUUAACAUUUAUACUACAAAACAUUUAUUAUUAAUAUAUUUAUAAUUGUAAUAAAUUUUUGGUAUUAAAAUAUUAAUAUUGAUAUUUUUAUUGAUAUAUGAAUAAUAUUUUUUAAAAUUAUUAUUUUUAAAAUUUACUAUUAAAAUGAAAUUUAAAUAUUAAAUAAUUUAUUAAAAAUAAUAAAUUAGACUAAUUAUAUUAAUAAUUUAUUAUAUGACUAAAUAUAAAUAAUUGAAUACUUAUGUUUAAUAAUAUUAAAAAUAUAAUAUUUUAUAUUAAUAUUUUAAAUAUUUUAAAUAUUUUUAAAAAUAAAAAAUUUAUUAUCAAUACAAUAAUAUUAAACUUGGUUUAAGUUAAUUUUUAUAUAAAAGUAAAAUUAUCUAUUGAGGAGCUCUUUUUCAGAAAAUGACUUACGCUUUUCAAAGGGUAAGUCAUUUUACAAGGAAAAAGGCUUAUUUUCCGUUGACCUGUAAGUCAUUUUCCGUUGACCAAGCUGUUUUCUGUGAAACAAACACAGGAAAAUGCAGAAAAUAUUUUCCGUAAAACCUUUUACAUGAAAACAAACGGACCCUAAAUCCAAAUUCUAAAGCUUGUAACAUUCACUUACACUUGAUGGAAUAUUACCAGAUAAUUCAUUUGUAUCCAAGUAAAGCCCUUCAAACUUGGGAAGAUGUUGACACAUAUCAUUAGGUAAACUACCUAAUAGGCUAUUGCUGGAGAGAUCAAUAGUCUUCAGAGAAGAAACAUUGAAGAUAGAAGACGGAAUUUGACCUGUAAGGUAUUUAAUUACUGUAAUAAUAAGCAUUUUCAAACAUUACUAAUAUAAACAGUUCAUGGAAGUAAGAAAGUUUGCAUAAUAAAACCAAAUUGUUUAAAAAAUUAAAACAAUAUUUUGAUUAAUCGAUAAAUUUAAGAUUUUAUGUAUUGAAGUGGCUUCAAAUCUCACUAUUAUUUUUUUGUUUUGUUUUGUUUUGUUUUUUAAAUAAAAAUACUAAAGUACCUCAAAUAGUAUAACUUAUUUUAAAUACGAAAAGAUAUUUUUGAAAUUUCUCUAAUUGAGUUGGUGCUCAUUGACUCGUAACACCAACUUAAUUAGAUACUUAAAUAACAAUUAGUUAUUCACAUUCACCAAAAAAAGUAAAAAAAAAUGUUACUUUAGUUUCAAAUAACAAAUUUUAAUUAUUUAUAUAACAAAAAACUGUAUAAAUUUGAUAAAUAAUAUAUUUAUAUAAUCUAAUCUAUCAUAUUUAUAUUAAUUAUAUAUCAUUUACAAACUUUUAACAUAAAUUUAUUGACUAUUAAGAAAAGAAAAAAUGAAAUGAAAUAAUGAAUAAUUUAAUUGACAAUAUAUCAAUUUUUAUAUUUUCUACCUAUGCUUUAAUGAUGAUCGAUUUUUUUUUAUUAUCACUAUUUUUGAAUUAAAAGAAUUAUUAAUAUAAUUUAAUUAUAUUUUGAAUAAUGUUACUCUUUUUUAAUUACAUGAUGUAAAAUCAUAUUAUAUAUUAAAGAGGGUACAUAUGCUUUAAUUAUAGCUUGAAAUUUUAUUAUUACAUUUGAGUUAUUAAUAAAUUAAUAUAUUUUAAUUAUAUUCAACUAUUUCAAUAACUAAUUAGAAUAAUUUUAAAAAACAUUAUUUAAAAGCUAUGUAUAUAAAUGUAUAUGUAUAUAAAUAUAUUUUCAAUGUUGGUUUCUUUUCUUCCACACACAAAGUAUUUCUAAUGUUUUUUUUUUUAUAACUUUUACUUAUAUAAAAUAGAUUAGUUAAUACAAUAAAAAAUUAAUUACUCUUUUUUAAGCUUAAUGGAAAUUAAAAUAAAUAAAUUCAUAUAAAUCUUAUUGUUUAUUAUCAAAUUAAUAGAUGGUAAAGUAUAUGGCAAAAAGAAAAGGAAGAAUUAAAUUCAAUAGAAUGUUUUUGGACUUGUGGAAAAUUUUAAAGUGAAAAACAUACCUUCUAAAUUGUUGUCAAAUAGAUAUAUUUCUUCGAGCAUAGUUGAAUUAAAAAGGGUAAACUACAAAAAUAGUCACUUUUGUUUGCCUCAAGUUACAUUUUAGUCACUUACGUUUGAAAUGUUACGUUUUAGUCACUUAUGUUAUUAUUUUGUUACGAAGUGAUCACUCUUCCGUUAAGUUCCGUUAUCUUCCAAACGGUAAUCCUAUGUGGCAAUCCAACUAGAUUUUAAGUGUCAACUUAAAUUUCCUAAUAGAAUGAGAAUAAAUUUUUAAUUAAAUAAAUUUAAUUAAUUAAAAAUUUUAAACCCUAAAUCUUAAUUAAAAAACCCAUCUCCCUUUUUUUAGUUUUUUUUUCAGUUGACUAAGAAAACAGUCACGUCUUUGAGCAGGCCUCAGUAAUCAUCAAUAGCUUGACUCCAUAUAUUUAAGAACAUAAAGCUUCUGCCUAAAGAUAAAAGGAAAAAGAAGGAAAACCCCACACCAAAUUUCUCUGCAUUUUAUUUUUUGCUUCCACUUUACCCCAUUGAAGUGGACAUGUUGGCGACCUUAUGGAUGGAGGAGCUUUCACCAACCAAGAGUAAAUAGCUCUACCAAACAGCAGCAACAACAGUACCACCAGUUGAAGCUUUGUAUGCAUGCGCCAAAGCUAAAAGCUAAGAGCUUUUGGAUUUCAAAAUCUUUUAGAAGCUUGUGUUACAAAGCUAUAGAGUCCAAUGUGUAUUACUCAUAGAGGUUAGAGUAUAGUGGUAUGAUAGUAAAUCACUCUGUGUUUUGUCCUUCACCUAGUCCUUUUGAAGAACAGCAAACUGAAAUGGAGGGUUUGGUUGAGAAAGAAGGACUCUUUAAAGAGAAAAAUGAAAGCUUUAGUGAGAAUGGGGUUCAAAUGGGAACAUUGCCGAGUUGCUUGAAGACAAGGGUAGGGAAAGUAGUUCAAGUUCUGAUUUUUUAACAUCUGAAACAACCGGGCAUGAGGAGGAACACACAGUCACAGUAGUUCCGAGGAAGGGUAUGCUGAAAAAGAAAACUAAAAAAAAAGGGAGAUGAAUGGUUUUUUAAUUAAGAUUUAGGGUUUAAAAUUUUUAAUUAAUUAAAUUUAUUUAAUUAAAAAUCUAUUCUCAUUCUAUUAGGAAAUUUAAGUUGACACUUAAAAUCUAGUUGGACUGCCAUGUAGGAUUACCGUUAGGAAGAUAACGGAACUUAACGGAAGAGUGAUCACUUCGUAACAAAAUAAUAACAUAAGUGACUAAAACGUAGCAUUUCAAACAUAAGUGACUAAAAUGUACUUGAGAUAAACAAAAGUGACUAUUUUUGUAGUUUACCCAAUUAAAAAUACGUUUUGGAAUCAGCCCACUGAAUUGAGUUGUUACUAAAUUCAAAACCUGAAGCUUGUUACAUUCACCUAUGGAAAAAAUACUUUAUGGAAAUCUGACCUGCACACAUACUUAACAUAAGUCAAAGAGGUUUUCUUUUCUAUAAUUUGGAGAUGUUAUAUUUUAAUGUAUUUAAUCAUAUUUUUUCAUCAAAUUAACUAUUUUGAUUUUAAUGAAAUAAAAAGCUCUUACUUUUUUUUAUAAAAAAAAACUUUAAACUAAAGAAGCCAAAGAAAUUUAGUACCUUCUAGAUUAUUAAACCCCACAUAUAAAUGUCUAAGUCGUGUCAGGUUUCCAAUACUUCUUGGAAUGAUCCAUGUGAAUUGAUUAAUGGACAAUGACAAAAUUUGAAGGUUGUUGCAUUUGCCUAUACUUAAUGGAAUGUUACCAGAUAAUUCAUUCAAACUCAAGUGAAGUCCUUCAAGCUUAGGAAUUAUGUUGACACAUAUCAUCAGGUAAACUACCUGAUAGGAUUAAUAGCCUUCAGAGAAGAAAUGUUGAAGAUGGAAGAUGGAACCUGGACAGAUAAUUGAUUGAAUUCCAAGUUCAAGAUCUCUAGAUUGGACAUGUUAACAAGUGUUUGAUGGAUUGUGCCUAUAAAGUUAUUAUUUUUCAUUUCCAGCCUUUGGACUCUGCGUAAGUUCCCAAGCCAUGAUGGAAUUUCCCCAUUAAGACCAUUGUAGCUUAAUUGGAUGAUCCUCAAACGGUGCAAUUGGCCCAAUUCGGUGGGCAGAUGGCCAUAGAAAUUGUUGCUACUCAAGUCGAGAGAGAGUAGGAAUGAAAGUUUUCCAAGUUGUGAAGGGAUAGUACCUCGAAGAUUCAUGUUUGUAAGAUUCAAAGCUACAACUCUUUCAUGGAUGAUGCCACAAGAAACACCAAUCCACCUGCAAACAGAGCUAUAGGCUAUCCAAUUGUUUUCCAAGAUAUUGUGAGGAUCGAUUAUUCGAUCCUUAAACUCGAGGAAUGCAAACUAAUCGGUGGUGAGAUUCCUGGCUGUCAUAGCCAAACAAAGUACGGAACAUGGUACGAAUAGAGCUAAAAGAAGAUGAAAGCAAGUGGUGUAGUUUAUGAUUGCAAGACGGAAUAAGGGAAGAAAAUAAAAGAGUAGGAAAAGGGAAAUUGAAAUGAUAAAAUAGUUGGAUGAUGAAGAAAAGCCCAGAGAGCCUGCUUUAAUAUGUUUCAACCCUCCCACACUUCUCCUAAUUAAAUUCACUCGGGUAGGGUUACAACAUUAAUUUUCAAAAUAAAUGUCAAGUCUUCUUUUAAAACACAUACAAAGAAGCGAAUUUUCUCCAAAAUUUCUUCACAUUACUCCACAUAAUCCAUACAAAAUUAAUAAAAUAUAAUUUUUUAAUUACUAUAUAUUCUUUUAUUUUUUUCACAAUAAUAAGUUGGUUAAAUAUGCUAUUAAUCCCUGUACUUUUCAAAAUUUGAGAUUUAAUCCUUAUACUUUAAAAGUUAAAAAUUAAUUCAAAGAUAUUCUUUUUUCUAAACUGAGUGAAAUAAUAAGCUUUGUUUUCCUUUAACAAUUUUUUUUUGGUAUUUUCGCGGAUAUGAGGAGAUACUGAAAAUUAUUUUACUAUGAACUUUUAAUUCACUCAAAAAAAUAAAUGUUUUAUUUCAAGGGAACACAAUUCAACAUUAGAUUUCCCAUUUUUAUAUUUUAAAUUUUUUUGACAACUGCAUAAUUAACAAAGUAUCAAUUUUGAGCAUUGUGAGAGUUUUAUAACUUUCCAUAUGCGUAAUCGACUUUUGAACCCACUUUUUAUUUUAGAACUCAGGACAUACCUUAAAUUUUUAUUUUUAUAAGUUAUUUAUAAUCUAUUUGUAAAAAGUGAAUUUUUAAGUGACCGAUCACGCUUAACAAAAAUGAUUGGUGACGUUGAGUCCUUUUUGAUAAAAUCUUUUUGUUGGAAAGACCAAAGUUUUCAUUUUUUUUAAGAAGUCUUGAAUUUAAUUUUCUUUUUGAAUUUUUAUUUUUAACCAGAAAAUGGUCCUUACAGUUAUUAUUUAUUUUCCCCAUUUUUAAUGGUUUUUUUCAGGGAGAUGAAUAGUGGAAUGAUAAUUUUUGGUUAAGGUAAACUCAAUUAUGUAGUUGAUUCUAUUUUGAUCCUUCAAUUAUUAAUUUUUCGAUCUAAUUACAUAUUUUUUUAAAAAAAAUUAACACUCUCUUAGUUGCCUCUUAAUUGAGGGACAAAAAACUUAGACAUUUUCUAAUCACAUUUAAUUCAAUUGCGUUUAGGAUCACAUAAUUUUCUUUUAUUCUUUUUAAAUUAUAAACUGUUUCAAAAAUUCGGUCAAUAGCUUAAGUGAAAUUAUCCUUUUCGAAAUAUCAAUUUCACUUAAGCUAUUGACCGAAUUUUCAGCUAUUAGUCUUUUUUCCAAUCAAAUUGACUCUUAGGAGAAAUGCAAACUGCGCAAAAGAGUGUAAACAAAGAGGUUGAAUUUAAUUAGUUUCAAAAGACAUAAUUAAUAAUAAACUUAUUUAUUUAACAUGUUAAGAAACCUUUGCUUCAUUUUCUUGAACUCAACCACAACAUUCUUCCUAACUUUUCUUUUUUGAGGUAAUUCAGUUCAACAUUUCAAAAGAAAUUCCAUAAUCGAUGAAAUACAAUUUGCUUUAAUAAUAAAUCCGCAUCCUCGAAGUCUAGUAGUCCUUCAAACAAUGAGCUUUUCAACCACUGCCUUAUGGUGAUUUACAAUAUUAACUUCUUUUAUUAAAAUGUAGUGUGUGUGUGUGUGUGUUUUUUUAAUUAAAAUUCUUUAUAAACUUUUUUGUUUUCAAACAUAACUUUAUAUUUAUAUGUUGUUCAGUUGUAUAAUUUAAAUUAUGAGAUAUAUUUCUUUAAAAAAUAUUAAUGGAGGUGGGAACAUUUGCACUAUUAACGUUUUCUUUAGGAAGACCAUAAAAUAGAAAAUAAAUAGAAUUUUCUUGAAAAAAGAAAAUAAACAGAUUCUUUUAGUCCCAACUUAAAUGCUUUUCGAAACGAUAUUUAUUUGUUUUUUUUAUUAUUUGGGAGUAAAGCUCGUUCAUUCAGAAUUCAAUUGAGAGUUACGAAAUGAUUGUAAAAAUUUUAGUAAAAGACAAACGUGGAGAAAAUGAGGAUUAAUGCUGUAGCCUGUAAGAGAGAUGAUCUGAUAAAACUAAGACCAUUGGAAUAUUUAUAGGAAUUAUGUAACUAAUGUUGAAGGAAAUUUAAAAAUAAACUAAUGUUAUGUCUUAUGAAAUACCUUAAGUAGGCAAUAUGUAAGAUAUGGCAUUAAAAAAUAGAAAGGAACUAAUGCGCGUUACGAGAUUUAAAAGUCCUAGAAAUAAAUAAGAGGCAAAAAAGAUUAUAUAAUAAAAUGAAAACACAAACCUUAAUUGCAAUUGAGAAGGUAUUGAGUAGUUUAUGAUCUGAUGUGAUAUAUUUAUGUUAUUUGGUCAUUAAUAAAUACAUAUAGUGUUUCAGUAAUUACAAAUGAAAAAUUAUAAGUCACAAAAGUUAUGUUAUUUGGUUAUUAAUAAAUAGUCGUUAUUCAAGUAGAUAUCUAUUGAAUAAUUAUGUUUGUUGCUAAAAAUAUGACCAUCCAUUUCGGUAGUUAUGUCCCUAUGAAGAGACAUGAGGUCUCCUACAAAUAGGAGUGAAGUUUCAUUUGCAUAAAAACCCAAAAAUAUAGAAAAAGGAAGGUUUUUUUUUUCUGAUCUCGCACCAUUUUUUAUACUUCUAGAUUGUCCUAUAAAAAAUUACUGUAGAAAUUCUUUAUAGAAAUUGAUUUCCAUGCUAUGCUCCGCUUAGUGCUUAGCUGAUUGUUUUUGUCAGUGCCAAACGUAGACAUCCAUUGGGCUUUAUUGUAUCCUUGAGGUUCAUUUUCCAGUAACUCUUUUGCACACCAUAAUAUAGGUGGGGGAGACAUGCCUUAAAGCUUUUGUUAAUUUCUCUUAAGUUUAUUUUUAUCCCCACUCACCAACAAUUUCAAGGUUCUAAUUUCGCAAUUUAUGAGAAAUUAAAGAAGGCUUGUUUAUUCACCACGCAUUCACAUGCCGCUACAAGCAUGAUACUAUGAGGAUAGAUAUAGGCAAAUGUGGUUGCAUCAAGGCCAGAGAUCUUGUCAAAUUUUGUUUAAAAGAAAUAUUUAUCACAUUUAUUAUUUUACUCUUAUUGCAUGAUUUAGCUUCAAAUGUUAUGUGUUUAUUGAAUUACAUUAUGCAAAAUAUGUGGGUGUUUCAUGCACCAAUUACUUGACAAAAAAAAAAUCAAAUGCUAGUUCAUUUUAUGCAUAAUUUUUUGAGAUGCAUGAUUCUGAUCAGUAUAGAAUUAUAAUAUAUAUUAUAUAUCAUGCAAGAAAGAAAGAAAGAAGAUGGAAUGAAAAUGCACGUUUGGGAAAGGGUCUAUUAAUGGAUUGAAAAGUUACUUUCAUUUUGAAUGGUGAUGACAUUUUUUUUUCAAAAAUUAAUUGAACAUGCUUUUAUUCAAUAGAAGCAUUAUGAUCAUUCAGGUGAGCCUUCCCAAAUUACAAAGUUGCAUCACUAGGUCCAACAAAUACUUUUAAAAUGUUCGAUGAAUGGUUUCUUGAAACCAAAAAGUACCACUUAAAAAGUGAUAUCUUUUUGAAGAGUCACUUAGGCACCUAUGAAUGCUUUAUAAAUAGAAACUAAGUUAGGAUAAUUACAAUAUAACUCGUUCCAUCUAAUUUGUGAGUGAAACUCUCAUUCUUUCUUCUUAUUGAUACAUAUUGAACUUGUGAUAUGAAAUUAUUUGUUUAUUCAAAUCAUUCUUUCUUCUUAUUGAUACAUAUUGAACUUGUGAUAUGAAAUUAUUUGUUUAUUCAAAUCAUAAUAUUAGUAACUAGCAUUUGGAUGAUAUUGAUGAGGCAUCAUUUUCAUUGCUAAAAAUGAAAGUUUGCAAAUGAUUAUAUAAUAUAAAUGAUUUUGGUUGUUGUUUUUGCUAAAUAACCAUAAGUUAAAUGAGUUUUAUAUAUGAUUGCACAUUUUUUAUUCUAUGUUAUAAAGUUUGGACUAAAUGUGGUUUUGACUAUAAGUCAAAUACAUAUGCAUGGUUAAUUUUUCUAGUCAAUGUAGAAUAGUGAAAACCAUUAGCUUAUAUAAUAAGAUCACUAUCCUAGUAUGAAAUUGUAACAUCUUAAAAUUCGGGGUUAGGAGUUUUGAGGUUUGUGGUCAGGGCCUGUGAGUAGGGUGAGUAAUUGGGUUUGUAGUCGUGCUUUGAUGACAGAAUGAGCCUAUUGGUUCAAUGGUAAAGGGUGUGUUAGUUUAACUUUGGGUCCCGGGUUUUAGUCCUUAUGUGUGUUUUGGGGAAAUAAUUUUACUUUGGUGUUUUUUUAAGUUUUAAAUACUUAUCUAUUAUUUUUAUUUUUAUUUUGGAGAGAGAAAAGAUCCCAAUUUGUUUUUCCACAUUCUCCCCUUUUCGCACGCCUGUUUCUUCUUCAAUUUCUAUUUUCAAUUUUUGUUGCUUCUUCUUCUUCUGCCUUAUUCUUUUGUUAUUCGAGUAUUGAAGCGUUUUCAUUAGAAAAGUUAUUUGCUCAAUUGUUAGGUGUGGAACUGGGUAAGUAUUAGCAUUGUUUUGUUGAUGAUUCUCUGAAUUUUAGAUUAAUUGCUUAAGGUUUUGUGCUGAUUAAUAAGGUUUUGAAAAAUGGUGGAUUUCAGGCGUCGAUUGUUAGGGCAUUUUCAAUCAUGAAUUUAGGUGUGUGUUCUGCAAUUGACUGAUUUCGUUAUCAAUUGCAUGAUUUCGACAACCCCUUUGUGUGUCUCUUAACUAUCUAAAUCAGUUAGCGAAUUGUUGAUGGAUUUUGGGAAAAAUCUAUAGAAGUCUAAUGUGGUUUGAAUUGUUAACAACUGGGGUAUGUUUUGUUGUCAUACAACCUUGAUUUUAGCCUAUUUCGAGGUGGUUUUGUGACCACACAGGCGUGUGCCACACACAGGCGAUCCACACAGCCGUGUGCAAUUGAGAAAUUAGGUUUUAGGCAAUUUUUGGUGUCAUACGGCCGUGUGGCUAAAUUUUGGGAUUUUAGUCAAUAAUCACACAGGCGUGUGUUCUGGACAGACGGCGAUGUCCCAUGGGCACACGGAUGUGUGAGACUUUCACACAGCCGUGUCUGCUCUGCACUUUAUUUUAGCAAUUUCGGACAGAGAGUUACACAGGCUAUUCACACAGCCAUGUCUCUAGGUCACACAGGCGUAUGUCAUAACCAUACGACCAUGUGCCUCUUUUCACAAAGGUGUGUGCUUGUUUACACAGGUGUGUGCCUUCUUCUCAUGGGCAUGUAGGCAACCAUACAACUUAGGCACUUCCACACGGCCGGGGCCCUGUUUCUCAAAUUUUCGUUUGGUGUUGGAUCUUGACUUGUUUGUGGUUUUGUGUGUUUCGGCCCUUGGUUAGGCCCUAGAAAGGGUGGUUGGGACUCUAUUUCAUCUCAGUUUUGCACGUUUGUUUUUAAUUAUGGAAUUAAUAUAAUAGUUUUUUAAAAUGCUAUUGGUACAUACUGCUUGCAUUUAAUUGAUAUUAACUCUAAAAAUGGUCCACCGCUUAUGUAUUCUAUUAUACGAGUCUGUUAGCAUGUUGAGUGCAUUCUGGCAUUUGCAUAUAAAUUUGGGUUUUGGUUGUGAAGAGAAGGAUGUCUGAUCUGAUUUGGUAGUUUUAAUUGCAACACAGCUGUACAGUGGUUUACCGUAAUAUGCUGUACAUAUGAUAGCUCAGCUGCAUAUUGAUAUUUCAAUGGCUUAGUUCCACAUAUGUGGUGUGUAGGGUGGAUGGGACUUUUGACGUCCUAUAUGGUGUGCAUAGUUGGUUAGGCUUGAUUAGCUCAUAUGUGGUGUGCAGGGUGGUCGAAAUGGUGUUCAGUUGGUGGGGUGGGUUCAUUUUUAAUCUAUCUUGCAUCUUAUUUGUAUUCAGUUUGCAUUUUAACAUACAUCGGUUUGUAUGGAUAAAAUGUUAGUGUGUGUUCUAAUCAAUACAUGUGGUUUGUUUGACUUUUGGUUCAAGUUUCCUUUUAGUAUACACAGUCUGUGUACCAUAACUUGAAAUGUUUGUAUUUGAUAUUUUGUCUUUUAAUAUUCACUUACGUUUCGAACUCACACUAAGCUUGUGUAGCUCACCCCUUUAGUUUUCCCUUUUUAGGUAUUCUCAUUUUUUGUAGAUGGACUCGGCACACUGGAGGUCUCGAAGCAUUACGUUUUAAAUCAAGCUAAUAAAGUAUUUCUUUAACUCUAAUUUUAAAUAAAUUUUUUUGGAUUGUAAGUACUGUUUUUGAAAUUGUGGUACGAAUUUUGUGCCAUACACACGUAAAGUGUUAUUAGAACUGAAGUUUCGAAAAAGGGAGAUUUUUUUUUUAUUUUUGAACAUUUUCUGUCGUAUCCUAAUUACCAUUUUGACUUUGGCAUAUUUUGUUAAAUGAUUUAGCGUGAUUUAAGCAAUAGUUUUCUGACAAAGUUUCAAACAAUUGUUUGGUAAAUUUUCUAGAAUCACUUCAGUUGUCAAUGUGACCUCCAAGAUCCAGUCAAAACUUCUAGGCUGGGUUUUGGGGUGUUACAGAAAUCUUCUAGUGAGAAUAUAUAAUGUGAUAAUCAUAUAUUUGAAAUUGAGAUCAUACCAUGCAUAUUUACGAUUAUGCAUAUGGUUUUUUAUAAAUGGCUUGGAUAUGAUCUAUAAUCUCGUGGUUUUAUAAAAUUUUAAGAUGUAGUAACUUUUGAAAUUUACUAUGGAAGCCAUGAAUCAAAGAUCUUGCAAGUAUGAAAAUAGAAAUAUGAAUGCUAUUUGACCCAUUUAGAUGAUCGACAUGAUUUUGAUCAUAGUCAGAAAGUAAUUGAUAAUAUCCAUGGUGAAAGGUGAAUAAAUGUGUGAUUUUGUUGUCUCUCGAUUAGACAGAUAAUGAUCCUUUAAUAUGACAUAUAUGUUACACCCUUGUAUAUAUAAAGUGAUUUUAUUGUCACUAGACUGGACAGUUGAUGGUCCUUUAAUAUGACAUAUAUGUUACAUCCUUGUAUAUAUAAAGUGUGUUGAGAAAAACAAUGUUAUUUGACUAUAAAUGAAUUUUUUUUAAAGACAUGUACUGACUUAGAAAAGAAGCUAUGACAAACAACAAAUAUGUUGUCUAGUUUCACCAAGAGAUUUGAGGCUUCUUCACAACAACAUACUUGGUGAAAAAGACAUGAUGCAUGGUUUCAUAUAUUUGGUGAUUGUGAAAUUAAUUUCUUGGAUAUUAAGAAAUAAAUCAAGUAGACAAAUAUGAAAUCAUCAUGAUAAGAAAAGAUAAAGUGAUUAUUGUAAUUUGACAAUAGUAAAAAGGUUGUCCCUGAUAGCAUUCUUUUUCAAAAGAAUGGGUAAUUUAAAAUGGUAAAGAUGUUGGCCUUGUGAAUUUUCAAGACACAAAUAAAUAUAAAGUUUCACUUGUGGUAUGGAUAAUUAACAUAGCUAUGUUGAAAAUUUAGAAAUUUAGGGAUGAGGUACAUGCCUAUAAUAUUUAAGUCACCCAUGCUGGAAACUCAACUCAACGUUUGAUAUAACAUCAAGUCUUGAGUUCAAUGAGACAAAGUAUAUUAUCAAUAUGUGAUCGCUAACACUAUAAAAUAAUUUAUCAUCCCAAUGUAAAAAAGUUAGGUACCCGUAAUGAUAAGGGGAAGGAUAAGUAUUAUACUCUUAAUAGACCCAUAACAUAAAUAUGUCAGUGUUAUAAUUACAGGAGCACUCUUGAUGGGAUCUGCCUAUGUGAGCGGAAGUGUUGUGUAACUAGAUUUUUGUGCAAAUGUAUAAUUCAUUCAAGUAAUAAGUAAGUAAAAUGAGUUAUUGUCUCCCCAGGGGCUGUGUAAGUUAAUCAAUUAUCUGCAAAAUUAUAAGUUAACAAUUUAGUGAUAAAAACACAAUAAUUUGAGUGAUGAUGAUUAAACUAGAUUAAUUUAACUAAAUGCAAGAUUGAUCCCUGUCGAAACCACUUUUUGAAAACAAAAAUUAGUAGUUGACUUAAAAAUGAAAAUCAGAGUCGCCACCGAUAUUUUAUUGAGGUGUGAUCGGACCACCUUGAAAACAAUUAUAGGUCUACGAACUUUGAAAAAAUAGGUUUGGGAGUCGAUUACGCACGAGGAAAGGUUAGCACCCUCGUAACGCCCAAUAUUGGUACCGAAUGGAUUGUUUAAUGUCUUAGUGUCAAAAAUUUGAAAAGAUUUUAAAAUACGAUCCUUUUAACUUUAACUAAAUUGAAUUAAAUGAUAAGACACACUUAUUUCAAAGAAAUAAAAUGUCACACCCAAUGAGUUAGGGCGCAACAUUUUUAAUCUUCAAGAUUAAGUUUAUCUUUUGACUUUUUAAAACCUAUACAUUUUGAGAAGGAUAUCUAGUUAUUCGGGUCAAAUGAAAAAUCAAAACCCUGUAAGUUAGGGCUCAAUUUCCCAAAAUUUCUAAAUACCGAAUAUUGCCUUUAUUAUUUUUUUUAAAAUCUUUAAUUCGAGGUGGCAAAAAGUCAUAUCCAGUGAGUUAGGAUCCAACAUUUUGAAAUCCCGAAAAACUUUUAUUUAAAAUUUGUAUGGUUUUAUUGCAAAAGAAAUACUUUGCUAUCUAAAUUCAUCGAAAAAAAUUGAAGCCCGGUAAGUUAGGGCACAAUCUUCUCGAGAAUCGUGAAUACCGAGUAUUUUUAAAAAUUUAAGGAAUAGAAUGAUUUUAGUGCUCUAAUGAAACACAAUUUUUAAACAAAUGUAGUAUGAUUGAAUAGUAAUGUAUAAUGUAAAAGAUAUAAUUUAUAAUCUAAAUACACACUAUGGGAUAAUAAACAAGCAAUAGACAACAAUAAUAGCAACAACAAUUUUAAUCACAUUAUGCAAAUAUCAAUAUUAAUAUUCAAAAAACUAAACAAAUCCAUCAUCAAAUUUUUAAAAGAUACACCAAGAUAAUACAAAAAUAUAUCCUAUGUAUAAAAGUUUUAAAAUAAAAAUAUAUAAGAAUAUUCAAAAGGUGAAUUUUAAAACAAAAUAAAAAUAAAACAUCAAAAUAUAUAUAAAUUAUAUCAAAUUUUCAUAAGAAUAUAUAUAUAUAUAUAUUAAUAAAUGAUGAAUUAAAUAAGAAUAUGUAAAGUUUGAAAAUAAAAGUAUAUAAUGGAUUUUAAAAAAUAAUGUAUGAUAAUUUUAAAACAUGUUAGUAAUAAUUUAAAAUAAUAGUAUAUUAUAUCUUAAAAUCAUAAUAAUAAUAAGUUAAAAAUAAUGUCAAGCUAAAUAUUAAAAUAAUAUUAGAAAUAAUAUAUUAAGAUAAGUAUUAAUUUAUUUUAAAAUUAUACUAUUAGAGGCUAAAUUAGACAUGAAAUAUAAUUUAGAAUAUAAAAUAAUAAAAUAAUAAUAAUGGAUUAAAAAUAAAAUUGGAAUUUUAAUAAAAAUUUUAAAAAACACUACAAAUAGAAAUAAAAAGGAAAAUAAAGAUAAACUAAAUUUGUAAUCGACUUGAAAAAUGAGGGACUAAAAUAGCAAAUAAGAGCAAAAAUCUGAAUAUUCAAAGUCAAUCGUAGAAAACGACACCGUUUAAACAUGGAUCCAAAUGUAAUUAGAAUCAAAUAUGCGAUAUAAAUUAAAAAAAUGAAGAAAAUCAAAUUGAAACUAUAGAAAACAAAGGGGGACUUGUUACGCAAAUAGACCAAUAAACCAAAAUGAGCGGAUCCUGCCCUCGGGUCAGGUCACCGCAUGGGUCUGAGCUUCUAAACGGCAUCAUUUUUAAAGCAACUGAAGAAUGUUUAAAACGGGGUUGUUUUCUUCACAAUAUAUAACCUAGAAUAAAAUCUAAACUAACAGCCUCCCAUCAUUUUCUAAAAAACUUUAAAGAACCCUAAUGAUCUCUCUAUGCCCCGCUCCAUGCCUAAGCCAACCAAAGGCACUUUGAUUUCCAUCCAACUCCGAUUGCGACGGAGUAGAAGGAAAGUCGGCCACCAGGUAAGCUUUUAGUCCUUUUAUUUAUCUUUUCUUUCAUUUUAGCACACAAAUCAUCAAAUAGAAAAAAAGAAACCAAAGAAAGAAAAGAAAAAAUAAAUCUGCAAUUACCUUUCAAACAUUUUCUUUUGAUUUCUCUGAAUAUUUUUUGGUUUUUGUAUUCAAUAUGCGUAACCGUUUACAGAUUUGGUUGGCUCUUUUUAUAGUCGAGACAGAGUCAAAAGAAAAAGAAAAAAAGCUUGAACCUUUUUACAUUUUUCUCUAUUUUUUCUAUUAUUUACUGUCACUGUUUUGUUGCUCUGUUGUUGUUGUCUGUUUCUAUUGCAGGAGUGGCCGUACGAUGACGUGGCACAACGCGUGGCGAAUGCACAGAGGGUGGUGCUAGAAGCUGUUAGGCGCGCGACGGCUUAGGCAGAUAGAGCUUUAGGGUUUCUCUCAGGACUUAUUUAGGGUUAUUGGGUUUGUAAUCAGGCCUAGUAUUUGGGCUAGACAUUUAGGGUUUUAGUGAUUAGGCUUCAAUUUGAAUUUGGCCCAUUGUAAUUGACUUUAUUGACAUUGGACUUUUAAUAAUUUUUAUUUAUUUGGUUUUUUAUUGGUCCAGGCAAAAUGGGUAUUACAGCUGCCCCUCUUUGCUCGUUGUCGUGUAACGGGAACGGAGCAAAGACUUUAAAAUGGCCAAUUUUGCCUGGUCGUGCUGGACCUUGGUGCUCCUCUUCUUCAAGUAGCCUCAUUCAUUCUACUGCAUCUUUAGGGGUAUAGGAAUUGGUGCUUCGAUCGACUCCACUGUAACAUCAGGGAGAUAGGAUUUGUAACUCUUCGAAGGAACAUUUGCUAUCAUCAGUCAGCUUCACUACAACUUCGAGGAGACAAGACUUGUAGCUUCAACUUGUUCCACUGAGGUUUGAUGCGAUCUGCUCUACUGUAACUCAUAGAGAUGAGAUCUAUGAUUUUAAUCCGCUCCACUGCAACUUCAGGGAGAUAGGAUCUGUGGUUUUAACCUACUCCACUGCUGCCCAGGGAGAUAGGACUGGCGGCUUAAAUCUGCUUCCCUACUACCUUGGGAAGAUAAGAUUCACUGUUUUUUAUCUGCUCCACUACUGCUUAAGGAGACAGGAUCUACAAUUUUCAACCUAUUCCACUGUUGCCUAGGGAGAUAGGACUUACAAUCUUCAACCUAUUCCACUGCUGUGCAGGGAGAUAAGACUUACAAUCUUCAACCCAUUCCACUGCUGUCUAGGGAGAUAUGACUUACAAUCUUCAACCUAUUCCACUGCUGUCCACUGCUGUCCACUGCUGUCCAGGUCUCUGUUACCUUUGGCAUCCACUCAACAAGUUUAUUAUACUCACACUAGCGAUCUUGAAGAUCAAUCUCGUGUUUCAGAAUACUAGUUGUGACAUCGAUGUCUCGACCAUCCAACUAAACAUGUCUAGAGCGUGGUCUAAUCCUCUUGUAAUAAAAUUAUUCAUGAGAAUCAAGAAUGUUCUUUUUUGUGCUGCCUACCAUGUUGGCAAAAUUCACAAAUUAUUUUUUCUUCAUCAAACAUUGUGUAUCAGAAACUCAGUUUACAGAAACGAGGUUUCGAGGCCACUUUUUUUGACACUACUAAAAAUCGGGUCGUUAAAGAAAAUACAAAGGAAGAAAAAACAUGUUUAGACAAGCCAAGAGCCUUUGGCUUUGCUCCAACAAUAGGAGACAUAAGAGUUGUGUUAUCAAAUAGAUGAAUGCUAAUCAUUGCGAUCAAACCGGUGAUUUUGAUGAUGUUAAUGGUUAUUUUGGUGGAGAGGUAGGAAAUUAAUCAUCAUAUAUAAUAUAAUUAUGCAAUUCAAGCCUAUAUUGUAUGUUCAUACAUAAAAUUUUCAUGGGAGGUCCAAAGGCAAUUAAAUGACUUGUAUGCUUGCUAAAAUUUUUUGAAAGGACCAAAGGCAAUUGAACAUUCAUAAAAUAGUCUCCAAAUACUAUAAAGACAAAUAAAAUCCACAUGAGCAUUAGAGUUGAUUAAGCUGCGCAUUAGCAGAACUUCCAUCAUAGGAAAUAUUACUUGGCACUUGGUAGUAUAUAUGUAGACUUUGACUUUGCAUUCAAUAAUGGCAAAACCACCUCUUGAUUUAGAAAAACAACAUAAUCCAUGAAACAUUGAUAGCCCAAUACAAAUUUCAUGUAGAAAAAAGUCUUUGUUUUGUAGCGCAUAAUAGUAAAGCAUGCGAAGUUUUAUUCUUCUUAUUGGCCUCCUUUAGUUUUCCUUGAUCAACAACCACUAGCCAAAAACACAAUUAGAUUAGAUUAUAAAUGAUACAUUCAAUUAUGAUAAUAUUAAAUAGAACACACCCUAAAUAAAUCUAAAUAAAUGGAGAGUAGCAAAUUACCUGACAAGGCAAGGUAGCUUAGUUAAGACCAAUGUGUUAGACUUGUCCCUGCAUUGAACAAUCUAGAAGAAAAUGAAGAGAAACACUGAGACAACUCUUGAAAACAGAUUAAACUUAUAUGUCAUUGCUUGGAUAAACUAUGAUUACCCAUAACAGACCUUGUAUUUGACUUUUUGUUAAGGGAGAUCAACUCUUCAGGAGAAGUCUUCUGAGUGUUAUCUGCCAGGUAGUCAACAUUGCCCUCAACAACAAAAGGUAUUGUCCCCAUGUCGAGAUUUUAUUCCUAGCCUCUACAGAAAAAUCAUGAAGAAUACGUGCGAAAGGAUUCAAACCACCAACUAACGUAUAUGUAACAUUUACCUCGCAAUCAUCUCCGUAAACCCAUAGAGAUCUUUGCAGAAUCAAGAGACAAAACCCCAACUCAAGAAUAAUACCAUUUGUUGAAGAGUCUGUCAAAAUAACAAAUGAAAUUUAAAUACAUAGUUUUUCAGUGAAAGAAAAUAACAUAUUUAAUUAGAGAAAAACAACAAAAGAUCCAACAAUAAAGUCCGUAGUAAAAGAUUAAAACAAAAUUAUACCGUAAUGAAAUAAGAAACUAAGAAAACCAAAUCUAACAAAGAAAAUAACUUGAUGUCCCAAAGCUACCAUAAACCGUAAUUCAUGGGAAGGCCUGCUACUCAUUUUGAUUUUGCAAAAGAAGUUUGAAUUCCGAAGAGAGCAAAUGAUUGAGCAAAAGAAAGAAAUUAGUUUAUUAAUUUUCACAAUUUAUAAGACAAUCUUCAAGGAGACCGAUACCGACAUAUUUGAUAUCUAUAAUUAAACUGCUAGAAUAGAUUAAAAAUGUUAAUAAAAUUAAGUGUGAAUUAAUAACCACAAGUGUACUCAUUACUUACCAUCUUUGUUAAACAUGUUUGAUGUUGUUUAGCAACCUUUGUUUGAUUUUCUUUAGCUCAGCCACAACAUCUUUCAUAUCUUUUCUUUCUUCUGGUAAUUCAGUUGAACAAUUCAAAGCCAACUCCAUGAUGGAUGAAAUGCAAUUUGCUUUAACAAUAAAGUACUCAUCCUCUCUUUUUAAUAAAUCAACAUCUGCAAUUUCUAUCGCUCCUUUAGGCAAUGAACUUUCCAUCCAAUGCCUUAUAGUCCUUUCUUCAGCAAAAAAAUUAUCAGUUGGCUUCUUCUUUGUGAAAGUUUCUAUGAGGACAAUCCCAUAACUAUAGACGUCACAUUUUACAGAAACAAUUCCUGCAGAUCCAAAUUCUGCAUUUCAAGUAUAAUUAGAGCAUCGUUAAUCCUUAAUUAUUUCUAAAAUGAUUAUUCAAAUAUAUAUCCACCUACACACGAAACAAAAAUAUAAAAUGCAAAUUAGAAAAAUAAUAAUACAAAAAUAAAAAAUUCACCUGGUGCCAUAUACCCAAUAGUUGCAAGAGUCAUGGUAUGCUUCAUUAAGUCACCUUCUCCCAACAAUUUGGCAAUGCCAAAAUCUCCCACAUGUGCAACCAUGUCUUCAUCUAGUAAAAUAUUGUUUGGUUUUAAGUCACAAUGAAUUAUAGGUGUUGGAUGUCCAUUGUGGAGAUGUUCUAUAGCUGAUGCAACAUCAAUCAUUAUGUCAACCCUUUGUAUGAUAUCGAGGAAAUGGUUUUUAGAAUGUAACAAUUUCUCAAGAUUUCCGUUAGACAUGUAACCAAGCACCAAGGCUUUGAAGUCAACACUUGAGCAGCAGGUAAUGACCUUCACAAUAUUACGAUGAACUAUAUUACUCAUAGCAUCACAUUCAAUGUCAAAACUCCUAAAUGCUCCCUCUGUUUGCAAAUUGAAAACUUUUAUUGCAACUUCCAUUCCAUCUGAAAGCCUCCCUUUAUAUACAUAUCCAAAACUCCCUGAACCAAGCAUAUUGCUUUCCUCAAAUCCAUUAGUUGCUCGUGAAAGUUCAGCAUGUGAAAUUCUUCUCGGUGUUUUCAAAGACAACAAAUCAUCUUUAAUUGGUAGAGUUGUACUCCUUCUUUGGCAUCUUCUAUACAUAAUAGUUAACACUAUUAGUAGUACGACAACACCAAUUGUUGGUAAACCAUACCUUAAAGCAUGCAAUAUAAUCUUUUCGGAGUUUUCGUGAAUGUCGUUUUUGCAAGGUGGGACUAGCAAUCUAGGUGGACCACAAAGUGCAUAAUUCUUCAUGAAUGAUGUGCUAGAAAAGUUUGAAAAACUUCCUUCAGUAGGAAUUUCCCCUUCAAGUCUGUUGAAAGACACAUUAAAAUACUUUAGAUGUAAAAGCUUUUCC